AAAAAUUUUAAAUCUUUCAAGUAAAACAUAUAUGUAUAUAUAUAAUUGAGAAAGUUGAUGAUUUAAAAGAGAAUUGUUUUCAAAUAUUUAUAGCAAAAUAGACCAAAACGUUUGAAUGGAGAUAGGUUGUUGAUAGAUGUGAAAUUUUGUUUUUUGUCUUUUUUUUUUCUGAGGUUGAAGAGAAAAAUAGAGGAGUUAUGGAGUUGAUAUUAUUGUAUAAUAGUUUCCUUAUAUCUUGAAAUUGUUGGUUGCAUGAAAGGAAAGGAAAAUGAGAGUUUGAAAGAAAGAAAUUGAUAUAAUUUGUUGAACAUUUUGUAGGUUGAAAAGUAAAAUAUGUAAAUAUUUUGAUUUAUAAUAUUGAAAAGAAUUUAGAAAAAGAAAAACGAAUGGUUGUUGGACCCCACAAAAGAAAAGAAGCCCAUAACAUUAACGUUCAACAAAUCUCGUCCACACGAUGUUCCAACAGAGCAUCCGAAUCUCAUCCUAUCGCCCAUCAUUAUUUAUCGUAUCUCACAUUCACCUCAAUUAUCAAGCACAUUUAAAACCCUAAACUCUCUCUCUCUCUCUCAUAUAUAUAUAUAUAUAUAAUAACUAGGUUUUUGUUUAGACCUUCCCUUCUCAAAAAAAAAAAAAAAAAAAAAAAAACUGAGAAUAUGUACUUUCCAUCCUUUGAUUUUUAAAAUAUACAUUUUUAGUCUAUUUGAUCCCUAGAUUUUUAGAAAUGGGUUUUAAUUAAGUUAAAAUUAUUUUUCUAAUUUAAACCAAAAGUAUAAAAGCUAUUUGAUGAACUUUUUAAGAUUUUUUUUUAAAUAUAUAUAUACAAACUAUUUACUACCCAUAUAUAAAAAAAAACACUCCUUUAUGACAUAUAAUUUUUUUUUUUUACAAUUUCUCAAAUGUUUAAACCUAUUUUUAAAAACUUGGACAUUCAAAAGAUAUAUUUAAAAAUUGAAAGAUAAAAUGUAUCUUUCUUACAAAUUUAGAGUCUAAAAUGGUACGUUUUUAAAGCUUAGAAAUCUAACUUUUAUAUAGAAUUAAAAAGGUAAUUUUCUUUUUAUAUAUAUAACUAAAUAAUAAUAAUAAUUUAAUUAAAAAAAAUGUCAAAAAUAUAACAUAUGAUAAAAUAUUUAUCUUUAAAUGUAAUGAUUUUUUUUUUCUUUUGUUAUAUAGAGUGUAAAUGGUUUAUCAUUAAAAAAAAAAGGCAUAAUAAUAAUAAUGCAAGUGAGCUAAAAUUAAAAGAAAAGAAAAGAAAGAAAAAUUAAAAUAAAGAUCCCAAAAAUAUUUUGAGUUAUAAUUUUGGUCAUCAACAUCCCCUGCCUUAAUUUUCGUCAUACUUAUACUAAUGUAAAUAUUUUGAAAGUGUCCCUUUUAGAAAAGGAUUUUAAUUUUUUAAAGAAAAGUGCAAAAUUAUAAUGAGUUUAAUUAUAAUAUAUCAAAUUUAGCAAUAUUAAAAAAGAAAAACCCAUCCGUACGUACAAAUUAUUAAACGCUAAUCCCAUAAAUUUAACCCCAAAAGAAAAAGAACAAACACAUCAAAUUUCCCCUUUCACUCUCCAAGUCGAUUCAGCACAACCUUUCACUUCAUCUUCUUAUCGAAAUUCAUCGAAUCAUCAAUCGAAAUUCAUAACCAGCAGAAACAAAACAAAAAAACCACAUAGCGAUUCAUCUAAACACACACUACCAGUAAUGGAUCUCAAGAAAUUAAAUUACAAAAAGUACAAAACAGAGACAUAUAUAUGUUCAUAUUCAUGACAUCAGAUCGGAGAUUUGGAGGGGAAUGGAUUAGAGAAAAAGCGGUUAUUAAGUAAAAGAAAAAUUAGAGUAAUUAAUAAUAAUUGAUUUACGAGGAUUUAGAUUGAGAAGUAGUAAGUAGUAAGUAGUAGAGAAAGAAGAGAAAAAGAACCGUGUAUGAUGGAUUUGAUUGACUUAAUCGGAUUUGAGAGAGGAGGAGUCGAGGUCGUGGUGGCCGGCGACAUAGCUGAGAAGACCUUCGGCUGCUUUAUCAGGUGACGGAAGGGAGGUGUUGGCGAAGAGGAGAACGGCAAGGAGGAAGAGAGCAGUGGAGAGGAAGAGAGGCCAGAAGUAAGCGAGAAGGGAGAGGAAACUUGGAGCAAGGAGGAAGAGGGAGAAGAGAGUUAGGGAUAAGAUUAGGGUUACCAGAAUGUGGAAUCUGAACUUCAUUACUUUGCUUGGGAUCUCCAUGGAUGGAUCAAAUUGAAAUCAAAUCAAGAAUCAAGACGAUGAUCAACAAAACCCGAACUCAAUUUCACCUUUUUUUGUUCUUUUUUCUUUUCCCGUUCAGAGAUUCCCUGACUGAGGGUUGAGGCUAAAAUGUUAUGUUUUGUUUAGGAAAGGGAGAAAUGGGUAAUUCUCUUUUUCUUCUUUUCUUUUUUACUCUUUAUUAUAUUAUACCUUCUUUAAUAUUUUAUACCGUACUUCCAAAUUACCUUUAAUUUUAUGUCACUUGAUUAGGUAUAGUUUAGGUUACGAUCAUGUACGUACCUAUAUAUAUCUUUCUAUAUUUUUUAUUUAUCAUAUGAUAAGAAAGUGAUCAUUUAUUUAUUUUAAUAAAAAUGAAAGUUUACAUCGCAUAACGAUUCUAAAUUAAACAAUAAGUGUGUGGGGGUGGACUACAUCUUAAUAUUUUUCUAUAAAUAUUUUGAACUAUUGUACAUAAUUAGAAGUUUUUUUUAAUAUUUUUAAAGGCUAUAUAUGAAGCGAAAUUGUAAAACAUUAUAUUUAAGGAUCAUGUUUAUUACAAAAUUUAUAUUUAAUAGGCUAUUAAACUUUUUUAUUAGGAUAUAGAUCCAUGACAACUUUGAUUUUAAAAACGAUGACUGAUAAUUGAUUUGAGAGAUAUAAAUUUGAAAUUAGGUUCAAUGGAAUCCUAAAUCUUCACGUUUUGUUGAAUAGAUUAGUUUUUUGUUUUUUGUUUUUUUGUCAAAUAGAUCAAUGAUAUAUUAAAUAAAAGAAAAUCAAUAAUUAUCGAAACUUCAAAUAUUUACUAAAUAUUUUUUUGAAAUUAGAAACUAAUGGACAUAAACAACAAGUUUUAGACACGUUUUAGAGAAAUAAUAUGUAUUUGACUCGAAAUAGAAAGUUUAAAAUAACUCAUUUGACAUUUUUUAAAAUGCAAGGAUUAAGUAAACACAAAUAAAUAUAUUUAUUAAAUACAAACUUGAAAGUUAGGUUAUGGAGGAUGAAGAUCGAUAAUUUAAUAUUUAAUUAAAAAAAUAAAGUAAAAUAGUAAGUUAUAGAUAUGAUGGUUGAGAUUGAUGUAUAGCUUUUUAAAAAAGAUUUGAGUUUCAAAGUGAUGGUAGAUUUGGAGUAAAGUAAGUCAAAGGGACAGAGGAUUGAGUGAGUCCAACUAAAUUUAUAUAAUUUAAAGUAUUGAUAACAUUCUUUACAUAUAAAAAACAAAGUGGUUCAAAAUCACCUACUCACAUUUGUUGUUAUUGUAUAUUGAUGAAAUUGAAACUAUGGUUUUAUUUUAUUAAAAUAAAUCUUAAACAUGCAUGUUCGAUAAUCUAGGUAGCAUGUGCCUCUGGCACAAGAUGAUCAUAUUAAUAAAGUGAAAUGCGUGUCAAAUCAGCCAAUCGGGUAUAAUUUGUACUAACAAUAUAUUAUUAUUUAGAAAAUUUGUAGUUCAAAUUUUUUAAAAAGUAAAAAUAAACCAUCAAUAUAAUUAAUUUCCUAUCAAAUUACAUUUGAAAUAAUUAAAUAAAGGAAAAGCAAUGAAUAUAAAGAAGUAAUGUUAAAAGAUAAAAAAGAUAAUCGCAAAUUAGUUAUUCAUGAGUUUAUAGAUUAAACUCAACCGUAAUUGAUAUUAUCCUUCAUCUUAAAAAUUUAAAAGACUUAAACAAAUCCAUCAACUGGCUCAUAGUCGAUUAGUACGCCUCUAUGAGCAGUUGCUAAAUUGAUCCAUUAAUGUUGGAGCUCACCCCUCUUAAUUUGUCGUUGAAAAAAAAUACAUUAAUAAUUAAUCUUAUCCUUUUUUAAAAAAAUAAUUGAUUAUCAGGAUGUUGUAAUUAAUUAAAUAAUUAAAGGUUAAGAAAGGAGAGAUUUUGGUGUAUUUAGGACACAACGAAAUUAAUGCAUUGAAGAUGGAAUCUUUGCAUUUAAUCUAAUGUCAUGUGCCUAUAAUUCUUUUAUUCUACCUUUUACUCAUUUUAAACUCCCAUUCAUUCAAUUUAUUAGUCAUUCAAUCUUACCUAUCUAUAUUUAAUAUUCAAUAAUCUUUACCCCUUUUCCAUCCACCAAAAUUGUUCCAAUUAUUUACCUUAGUGCAAAAAUUAAAAGAAAAAAAAUUCUAUAAUAAUCAAUUGAGUUAGGCCAUUCACAUUUCUUAAAUAACUUUUAUAUUUCAAUUACAACAUUUAAUCCAAAAUCAAUCGUAAUAAUACCUAAAGAUUAAUAAAAUAAACAUAAUUAUAUAUCAAAUUUGUACGUUAAACAAUUAAUUUAAAGUUGUAGUUUUGUAUUUGCAUGUGAGUACAACAAUAUUUAAGUCAAAUUAAAUAGUAUCUUCAAUUUAAUUACCUUGAGGAGUGACAAAUUCAAAUAAUUCAAGAUAAGAUUUUGAAGAAAAGUAAAUAAAAUAAAAUAGUGGAGAGUGGAAAAUUAAAAUGAGUGGAAAUGGAAAAAAUUUCCCAUUCUUGUCUAACCCUUUUUUAUUUGAAAUGAUGGAAAUCAUAGGUCCUUCUUCCAAGUGGAAUUCUCUUUUCUUUAAAUACAAAAUUGUUUUGAAAUAUUUACAAAAAUAUUUAUGGUUUAAUUAUGAUGAAAUUGAAAAGUAUAGGAGAUGAAAAUUCAUUAAUACUAAUCAAAGUUUAAGAGUAAGAAUUGAUUUUUUUUCUUGCUUUUCUUUAUUAAUCAAAGUUUAGGAGUAAAAAUUGAUUUUUUUUUAUCCCUCACCAACAACUUGGACAAAUGUUUGUGGCCAAUCUCUUACCAUCACCUCUGUCAAUGACUACUACUGUACAAAUUCUUUUACAGUAACUUGAAUUGGUAAAAACAUUUUUAAUAUACAGAAAUUUGCAAAAAUAGCAAAAAAAUUAUGAUAACAGAGUCUAUGUUAUCUACAUUUUAUAAAUUUCAAAAAUGAUAAAUUUAAAAAGAUGUUAUUGUUAAUUACUAGUCAUAUUUGCCAAAUUUGCAAUAUGCAAAAAAGAGAUGUUAUGAACUGUUUUUUUCUAAUUUUUUUUUGUCAUCUAAUGGAGUUUUCCUCUAAUAUAUAUAACAAAACUUUUACAUAAAAACACUAUUUGAAGGUCAAACAUGUGUGAUUAUUUUAUUUUUAUUUAUUUUGAGGAGUUGAUAUCAAAAUUAUUCAAACAAAAAUAAAUCUUUUGAAAAAUAUUAAUUUUAUAGGUUGAAAUUAUAAACCGAGUAAAAACCAAGCUAACAAUUUUAAUUAGUAGAGAUUAAAAAGAAAAAUGUAGUUUAUUUAAGAAAAGAAAAGAGAAUUUGUAAACUUUGUAGACAAAAAAACUUAGAGGUAAAAGUUGAAAAUUAAGAAAAAUUGGAAGGCUACCUAAAGGGUAUAGGGUAAAGGGGGAUGAAUAAUAAUGGAGAAUUUGGUAUAUUGUUGACAUUAACCAAAGUUUUUGUUUGUUUAUGGGGGAAAAUAGCAUCUAACACAUCAUCCAUAUUUCCAAUUUCACAUCCUUUUUCCUAAAUUUAAUUAUUUCAUUUCAAAUCCCUCACCUUUUUCAAGAUUCAAACCAUUUUUCUUUUCUAAAAAAAUAUCAACCUUUUGGAAAUAUGUUUUGGUAACUAUUUUCUAUUUUUAUUGAAAACUCAACAACAUGCCCUCUUGACAUUGCUAAUUAGUUUAUCAAAACUCCAUGAGAUUGAAUUAACUUUUAAGAGGGUUUAGGGGUAAGAAAACCCGUACAAAAAAAAAUAAAAGAAAUUAUAAUGUCAAAUAAUAAAUAUCGUAACAAAUUAGUAGAUUUUAAAUAGUAUUUACUAUAGUUAAUUGGAGAUUUUUGUAAAUAUAGUAUGAAGUAGUUAUUAUAGUCCUAUUUAAUCCUCGCCUCAAAUGCCUCUUAAAACUUUAAAAUUUCUUAUUCCUUAUAGUUUCACCCCUUACACACAUGUUAGGAACUCUCGAUACAUCCUCUAUUUUUUUAAAAAAAAAUUACCUUCCAUUAAUUUCUAAAUUUAAUUUUAACUUUAAAGUCAACUUCAACACUUCAAAUUUAAAUUCUUAAGACUAAUUCAAAAUCCUAACAAUACUUCAAAUUCAAUUUCAAUACUAAAACCUAAAACUAAUUCAAAAUCUAAAUACUAAAACUAAUUAACUAAAACUAAACAAUAACUAAACCACUUACGGAUAUGCAGUGACGAAUGCUCUCUUCUUCUCGAUCUUCCUCUCGGUCACCCUCUCCCUCUCUCGGUUUUCUUUCUCUUUUUUGAUGUCCUACGAAAACGUCGAAAAUAGCACCCUAUUCCUAAUGCGAUUAGUGACACGUCGGAAAUUCCUAAACCUAUUCCCGACGUUGUUGAUGUCUUCCUCCAACACAACACUGUAGACGUCAGGAAUAGGAAUAGGUACCCAUUUCCUAAUGCACUUGACACCAGGUCGAAAGAAAUGUCAAACAGUACAAUUAAUUGUCUGCUCUCUUCCGAUGCUACACUUUCCACGUUGGGAAUAGGGGUCCAUUUUCUGACGUACCUGACACCACGUUGGAGGAACCCUAAACCAUUCUCGCUAGUUUCGACGCUCAUGUGUCUGCGUUGGGGGGAAUGUCUUCCCUCGACGUGCACCUAGAUGUAUCAUAAAACACCAGCUGCUUCUACCAACGUCAUAUUUUUCGAUGAUUUUUCCUGCAUAAAAAAACUCCCGAUUUCUUGUAGUAUUUACAAUUUAUAGACAAUAUUAGGCUGUGAAAAAUAAAUAUAAAACUACAAAAUAAAACAUACCUGCUAGUCUCAAAAUUGAUAGACUAAUAAUUAAUUUAUAUAACUCUGAAAUCUUAUUAUAUUUUGGUUCAUUUGUAAAUAUCUCAAUUAAUAGAUAUAUAACUUAAUAAUUAAUAUGAACAGAUUGAGGCCCCUUGCACACAACAUCUUACUAAGAAGGAUAUGAUCAAUAAACCACUCACAGUGAUGAAUUUAACCGUUGGAUUUGCUUAAUGACAAUUUUUCUUCUAACUAUAAACAGAAAGGGGAUAUCCAGAGUUGUCAAACCAUUCCAAAGUUUCUUUCUAAAGAGAGCUUUGCAUUUCUUAAUAAGUUUAUAUAAAUCCUAUUUUAUACAGUGAAAUUCUUCUUUCUUGCUCAUGGCGUUUCAUGUAAAAUUAUUGCACAUUAUUCUCCCCCUUUUUCUUCUUCUAUCAUCAUUAUUUUCCAUAUCUUUUCACAAUUUAAGAUCACCAACUUAAAAUAUAUAUAAAAUAAAUUAUAUUUUUUAAAAUAUAAUAAAACAAUAUGUUCUUUUUUCUUUUCCAUUUUUACAUUCUAGUAAGAAUAAACUUUGGAAGUUUUAAUAUUCAUAUCUUGUAAAGUAACAUAAUUUUGUUGCUAGCAAAUAUGAAAUCUUUUUUAUAUGAAAAAAACGGUAUCUCAUCAAUCUUAGACUUAUUAUCUCAAAUAUGUUUAAAAUCGUCAAUAAUUUUUUUAUUUCUUGAUUUAAUUUACUUUCUGGUAACAAAGAAAAACUCUUUGAAUGAAUCACAUAGUAAGACAUGACACUAAAAAUUAAAAAGCCACAAAAGAACAAAAGUUUCUCUCUCUCUUUCUGCUCCAAACAACCCCUCCAUUUCUCAACUUCUCUCCAACCUUUCCUAUAUGAAUCUUAAAAAUUAUAUUAUUCUUUUUAACUAUCUGUUAGAAUAAAAUUUAAUUUAAAAACAAAUAAAUAUAUAUAAUCAAUAAAAAUAUAUUGGACUUUUGUUUGAAGGGUAAAAAAAAAACAAAUGUAAGAAGAUAAACUAAAAGGGAACAACAAAAGAAAAAAAAAAAAAGAAGAAAAUAAUGGUUAUUUUUUUAGUAAUAUUGUUAAUAUAAUCAAAGUAAAGGUAAAAAAUAACAAAAUAGGUAAAAUACUUAGGAUUUGUAGCAAAAUGGAGUAUAGUAAAUUUUCGUCUAGUUUAUUACUAUUAUUAAUUGAAAGAUACAUAGACAAAAGAACUUGAACUUGCACUUCGUCUCUUCAAAUACCAUGAUCUAUUCGUUCACUUCUUAUGUUAUAUAUUCUAUUGAUUUUAGAGACGAUGGUGAAUUACAUAUAUACAUUACACUAUUUGAAUAAUAAAUUUUGCAAUAGCUGUAUUUUUUUUCAAAAUUGGGUAUAGAAGAAGUCCCACAUGCCUAUAUUAUGAUAAUUAAAAAAAUGGGUCCACCAAGAAAAUAUGAGAUCCUUUCUAAAAAAUUUAGGGGUAGUUAUAAAUUUAGUUAUUAGAUUUAAAAUAAUUAAGUAUAUAACAAUAUUUUUAAAAAAAUUACAAAUAUAGCAAAAUUUGUCAAUUUCUAUCGAGGAUAGACCAUGUUGUAAAUAUUGGUUUAUCACUGAUAGAUCAUACAAAGUGUAUUUGAUAGUUUUGCUAUAUUUGCAGUUUUUUUAAAAAAAAUUUGCUAUAUUCUUAAUUAUUAUUGCUGAAAUGGUUGUCCAUUCUAAUUUCCUUAAAAUUUAGAACAAGUUGCAUAAAUGACAUUUAAGCAAAAGUAAUUAUAUAUAGCAUAAAGAUAACAUACUUACCUAUAUUCCAUAUAAAUUUGGUAAGAAACUAAAAUGCUCAUGUCAAACUACUAUUUUAUAGGUUUUAUCUUGGUUUCUCAAAAUUGAAAGCUAUUAGUGAUGGUAGCCAUCGUUAAUAGUUGUCAUCAUUGAUCGUUAAUUUGAAAAAUGUGCUAGAAGUUGCUAUCAUUGAUAGCAACUAUCAAUGACUACUAAUGACUUGGUAUUUAAAAAUUUUUACUAGUUGAUUGGUCAACCUUAUUUGUUAUUUUUUAAAUAUUUUAUCCUUGCACUCUAUUUUAUAUUUAUUCUCUAAAUUUUUUCUUAAAUUAAUUGCGACCUCCGUCUCUUGAUCCACUUGUUUUAACCAAACUUGCAAAAAAGUUUGAAUUAGCAUAAAACAAAUUAAACCUUGAUCAUUGCAUUUUCCAUUUUGAAUACCAUUGGACUUGAGAAGGUGUCAUAAGUAUUGAUUAGAGUUCAACAACAAAUGUAGUGUGAAUUGUGAUUUCUUUUAGCUUAAAGUAGAACUACUAAUGGUGAUUUGGUUUUUAAGUAUCUAUUGAAGUGCAAAGGGAGUUGUAAAGAGUAAAUCAUUGAAAAUUAUGUAGUAACGUUUCAUCUUUCUUUGUGACAUACACUAAGGCCAACUUGUUUACAAAAAUUUUGACAUAUUUUGUUCAUUGUCAAUGGACUCUAUGACAAUUUUCUAAUUAGAUAAACACAGUUUACAAAGUCUUAAAGACAUAUGUAAUGUUGGAGAAGGCAGGAGAACAAGUAGCAUUGAUGAGGGUGGUUAAAAUUUGGUCUUAAUAAGCCUCUGCAUAUACUAUGAUAAUUAAGCUUCUCUUAGGAUAGAAAAAUAUUGGUUUCGCUAGAUGAAGGCUGAGAGUUUGAAGUUGAGUACGAGUGGUCUCGUCAAUAUGACCAUAAAAAGGCCCUAGCCAUUUAAGAUCGUAUAAAUUCAACAUUUCCAUUAAACAUAGCUUAUUGAAUCAAGGUGAACAAGGGACAAAUUAUGAGACAAAUUACGUAUAAUAGAAAGAAGAGAGUGUGAAGUAGAGGAGUUUGAGUGUGUUGAGAGAGAUGAGGGUAACACCAUCUAAGUCAGAGAGCAAAAAAAAAGUCGAGUGUUAAUUUACUCCAAUACCAAGAGAAAGUUCAAACUAUGGAAAAUUCAUUACUUUGUGUUUCAAUGAUCAAUUAACAAGAUAGAAUACCCAUUUACAUCUAGGCAUGAAAGUUAAAAAAAGGAGAUUUGAAGAAGAUAAUUAUUAUAUAUAUAAAUUAUAAAAUGCAGUAGCUAUAACAAAAAAUGGAUAACUAAUUUGAAAUACCUCAAUUUUCACGUAUUGUUAGAUUUAUUUAUUAUUUAUUAGAUUAAAACUAAUUGAAAGGAUAUAUGUGUAAUGUUAAAUAUAAUUCAAGUUUCAUUCAGUCAUCCAUAAAUGGUAAAUUUUUGUAAAAAUGAACAAUUGUAAAAAGAAAAAUAUUGAAGCGGAUUCCAAUAACACCAAAUUAAGUGUUAAAUCAAAUCAAAACAAAAACAGAUUAAAUAGCAGAAAGAGAGAUCGUGUCUAAACUAAAAAUACAACUCAUCCUCAAAAUUCCUGAUUCACACAAAGGUAUGUUGAGUGAUUCAACUCACCAGUUUUCUAAUAUGUUAAAGUGGAAAUAAACGGUUUCAACGGUUAGCUUUCCGCCACGUCAUAAACACACAAGCCCUCAUCGUCCAAAUGUCAUACAAAAAUGGCCUAUGUUGUGUGGGCCCUGCGAUCCUCGAGGAACAAACGAAUUUCAGAUCCAAGCCGUCCAAUAUUCCGAUGCCAUUUAAAUUCCAUCCCAUCCGUCCAUUUCCUCUUUCACACACAAAAAAUAACUUACACGUCAGCUGAUAAAAGUUUCCGACGUGGCAUUAAACUGCUUGUAAAUUCCGAAGUUGAGGUCCGAAGUAUAAAUAAUCAAAGAAGGAGACUUCGGUUAUUUUAUUUCGAAAAAAAAUAAAAAAUCCAAAUACGAAGCGAAACCGAAAAAAACCAAAAAUAAUUGUCUACGGAGCUGAGAGAGAGAGAGAGAGAGCGACAGUGAGACAGUAGAACUCCGACGACUUUCUCUGUUCGAUGCUUCAAUCCAUUACAGAAGCUUUGAAAUUUAGUAAGUUUCAGCUUCUCACGCAUGUACUCUUCUCUUUUAGGGCUUUUGUGUUGCUUCAAACUUCUCAAUUUUAAGGGUUUCCUGCUGUAAAAUGUUCUGGAUUUCUAGGAUUAGGGUUUCAGGUGUUCCUGUGCUUAUAUUGUAUUUUCUUUUUGGAUUUUGAGUGAUUUAAGUCUCCGUAGCUGUUUUUUUUGUCUGUGGCUUUCAGCUCUAAGCCUGAAUUCUUUGUGUCGAUUUUGUUUUACUUUUGUGGAAUGAAUGUCAUGCAUGAUGCAUCCUUAUGUACUCCACACUGUUGGAAUUUCUUAUUUGAAUUGAAGAUAGCAGUGAUGCUUUUGCUGCUUAUGGUCUUUUUUUUUUUUUUCGUCUAGUGUAACUACUGUGCGUUAUUGUCUUUUUGUUGGUUCGAGUUUGUGUCACUGUCUUUUUUUAAUUUUCUGUGUAUUUCCGAACAAUUUCAAAUGCUAUUAGAUUUGAUCAUUUGAACUGAUUCUUUUAGUACUUAUGUUCAGAUUUGAAGUGAAUUAUUUGUUAUGAUUUAGUUAAAAUUGUAUGGAAUCAAAGAUGGAUCCGGAUCUUGUAUUCAUUCACAAAUUUAUUUAGGUUCUAUUACCAAUGGGGUGUUCUCAAAGCUUAGGAAUUUGGUGGGAAUCAGUCUUUUAGUCCAUAUCUUUUACUUUUUUUUAAAAAAAUAUAUCUUUGAUUGGAGAUUUUGAAUAUGAGAACAUUGAAAAUAUGUAAUUUCUAUUUUCAAACUUUUCACGUCUUAAAUCACAGAAUACCAAUACAAUGACUAUAUUGUCUGUCAUAAGUAAACCUUCUAAAUAUGAAUUCAUUGAAUUCAAGUGAACUUAAGAGCAUGAAAUUGAAUCUGGUUCGGAUACCAAACAAACGUUUCAUGGUUUGCCUAUACCUUACAAGUCAUCCUUAAACCACACUUUAUCUCCACAUGUAAACCCAUCGUUGGCUUAUUCUGAUAUGAAUACCAGAUAGAGAAUGUGCCACAUUGCCAUUAUGAUAACAACUUGUAAUGAUACCCAUGGUUUAUGAGAUUCAAUUCAAUUGUAGAGGUCAAAUUGGAACAAAAAACAUUUCAUCCAGAAAAAAAAAAGAAAAAAGAAAAAAAACAAGAAGAAGAAACCUAAAAGCGCCCCUAACUUUUAAAAAUAGUAGGGAUCAAUUUACACUUAAACCAAUUUUAUUCCACAAUAGUUUAAUUGAAUUCACUUAAAAUGGAAUAUAAUGUUCAUUCCACAAUAGACCUACCCUUUUGUACUUCUGUUUGGAGAAUUAUUAUAAAGAGCUGGGUGUCCUCAAGAGCAAUAGCAUUAGUUCCAACAAACUGGAAAUGUAUUUCAGUUUCACUUUCCAUAGUACAUUUUCUUCGACAUGAUAUUUGCCUUUUCUUGUUUAGCAUUCAUAUUGAAUGGUAAUAUAUUUCUAUAUCUUUUGUCAUUUAUUCAUGUGAGUAGGUGAGGAUGUGCACGUGAAGAGACUGGCUUUCUAUAGAUUUAAAUUUGAGCUAAAUUGAUCAUGGGUGCAGAAGACACAGCAAAAAUUACUGUUGAAAAUACAAAAGAUGAAGCCAAAGGAGAAGAUUUAAAAACAAAUACAGUUGAGACUGUGACUGUGGAAAAUGGAAACAGUAAAGAAGAUAAAAUGAAAAACAGUGUUGAAACCGUGGAAAAUGGAACAAAUGAAGAUGACAAAAUGAAAAAUACCAUUGAGACUGUGACAAAUGGAACCAAUGAACUGGAGAAAAUCAACGAGAUUGUGCCUAAGGGGGAGGAAAAUGGAGUGAAAGAAACAGAAAUUGAGAAGGGUGUUGUUGAGGCAGAGGUCACGAAAAUGGGAGAAGAACCUAAAAUCAAGGAAGAUAAGGAAAGCAAUGCAGAAAACGUGAAGGAUGAAAAGGAGGAAGCUAAAAUUCAGGCAAUGGACGAAGAUGCGAAUCCAAAUGCUAAGAACGAUGAACAAAAUGUGGAUAUCAAAGAUGCAGACAGUGUAGAUGUCAAAGAUGACAAGAAUGAGAUUGCCAAAGAUGGAGAAAUUGAGGGUGCCAAAGAUGAAGAAAUGGAGGAUGCCAAAGAUGAAGAAAUGGAGGAUGCCAAAGAUGAAGUAACUGAGAGUGGCAAAGAUGAAGUAACUGAGGAUGCCAAAGAUGAAGUAACUGAGGAUGCCAAAGAUGAAGUAACUGAGGAUGCCAAAGAUGAAGUAACUGAGGAUGCCAAAGAUGAAGUAACUGAGGAUGCCAAAGAUGAAGGAACUGAGGAUGCCAAAGAUGAAGUAACUGAGGAUGCCAAAGAUGAAGGAACUGAGGAUGCCAAAGAUGAAGGAACUGAGGAUGCCAAAGAUGUAAUUGAUGAUGCCAAAGAUGGGGUAGAGAAGGUUGACAGCCAUAUGGAAGAGGAUGACAAGGAAAUGAAGGAUAAAGAUCCCAACGAAGAAAAAACAAAAAAAGGAAGAAGGAGAAAGGGUGCUAUUAAAUCAAAAGGAAACAAAGAAGAGGAUGAAAAGGAGGAGGCAGAGAUCAGGACUCCCAUUGUUGAUCGCCCUGUACGUGAGCGUAAAUCAGUUGAAAGGUUGGUGGCAUCUAUAGAAAGAUAUGCUGUGAAGGAAUUCCAUAUCGAGAAGGUAUUAUAUAUGCAUAUUUCUUUUCUAGACUGUUUAGUGUGCUUUCUAGGUAUUUGAGUCUACUUCUUUUUGUUGGAAACUGCAGGGUCGUGGUACUCCACUUAAAGAUAUACCCAAUGGUAUGUGCAAUUGGAAACCAUCUUCCACUUUGUUGUUGUGCUUCCCAUUUUGCUUUAUAUAAUUUCUCCAACAUGUUUAUGAUGGUCUAUUGUUUAUUUUGGUUUGGCAUUCCCUUUAUUUGUUGCUCAGAUUUCUUUUAAGAAUAAUUGUUAAGUCACCAUCUUUAGCAGAUCCAUUAUUUUUUCCUUUUUAUCAACCUAAAGAGAAAGGUUAUCUUUCUAAAUGUAUGAGGACAGUUUCUUUUCCCCUUAUUCAUUUUUUUUAGAUAUUUUUAUGCGUUAGAUUGUUUUCUGAAAUUACAACUGAAGUUAUGAGGCAGUGCAAACUACAAAAAUGUUCUGUUUCAAGUCACAAUUUGUCUUGCUUCUUGCAUAUGCUACUUAUUUACUGAUAGAUGAAUAACGAAUAAUAUAUAUACGUUAAUGCACUCUGAGAAAGAAGCCCUUUUGUUUUAGUGGCAUUCAAAUUAUCAAGGAAGAAGACAGAUGACAUCUUCAGGCUGCUUCAUACAAUUCUAUUUGGAAGGAGAGGAAAGGUAACUAAUGAUUUAGUGGUUUUCUCAUAGGUUAAUCAUCUAGUUCCAUGGUGAGUAAUUCCUGAAGGUACACAUGCAUGCUAUGAGCAGUACCAUUUGGUGUUUCUGAUGUUCUGGUUUACAACUUCUCAGUGAUGUACUUUAGGCGUACUUGCAUCUAAAUCUAUGUGACUUCCUUCUUUCCUACCUUUCCUCCAGGCAUUUCAGAUUAAGAGCAACAUAUCCAGGUUUUCAGGUUUUGUGUGGCAUGGAGAUGAGGUAAAAAAAUUGUAUGUGCUACCAGUAUGAAAUAUUUUUUUUAACUAGGAGCCAUCAGUAAUUAUCAGGAUUAGAAGUUUCAGUUUCUCAUUUUUUUUGUUUUCGUAAAAUAAGAUUUCUCAGGAAUUUUUUGUUGAUACAAAUUACAUCAUCUUUGCAGGAGAAACAAAAGAAUAAAAUCAAAGAAAAAUUUGACAAAUGUAAUAAAGAGAAAUUAUUGGAAUUUUGUGAUGUGCUAGAUAUUCCUGUUGUGAAGGCCACCACAAGGAAGGUAUGUCCAAUUAUCUUUGUUGCUGUACUUGCAUCCCAAGGGCUAGUCUGCAUUUGGGAUGGUUUUCUUCUGUACGAUGUUCGUAGAUAGUAUUGAGUGAAAAUUUCAAAUCUAAUAAGUCCUCAAAUCGUAAUAUUCAAACAUGAACAGUUUUUAAAUUUUGCAUCCUAAAAAUGAGGAUUUAAUUCAAAUGGGAUCCAUUGUUUUCUAAUAUCAUCUGCAGUCAUCACUUAUUGUUCAUAUACGGAACGUUUGUUCCAUAAUUAGCCUCGGUUAUUUAUUGAGUAGUCUAGGAAUUUCUUUCUAUUGGACCCAUGCUGUAAAGUGUAAAAGAAUCUUUCAGGAAAAGUGAUUUAGUGGGAGUGGUUUAGGUUAUGGUUCAAAGUUUGACAAUCACCAACCUUUUUUUUCUUCUCUUUUUCUUAAACCUUGCCGGUUACUAAGAUACUUGUAUGCCAAUUGAGUUGGGGGGGGGGUUAUACCAGGUCCUAGGAUCUGUAAGUUCAUUAUUCAACUAUUCACUAUACUUGGGCAUUAUGGCCUUUUGUAAUUAUCUGUUAGUUCUUAUCAUCUUAAAAUGGGGGUUUUAUUAUUUUUUAAAGGUUUAAUUGGGGUAUAGUUUGGGGUUGUUUUCUUAUUAAAAGACUAUUCACGUCUAUAAUUUCUUUAAUGACAACUGACAAGAACAACUUUGUUUUAUUAAGCAUGAGGCCAUCCAUGAAAAAAAUUGAAGAAAAAGAAAUUGAUCCAACUUUUACAGCUGACCAAUAAUGCUUUUAUUGAUUUAGUUUAAAAACAUUGCACAUUAACUCACUAAUUUAAAACUGUAGACUAAUGAAUAAACUCUAGAAUAAAUUAAAGUAAAUGAUUUCUUGUGUCAUUGCUAGAUGGAAAGAUUUUGUUGGCAUUGUUCUUAUAAAUGGUAUUUGGGGAAGGGAAUGUUGGGGAGAUUUUUAACAUUGAAACUCAGAAGGUCUUGUUUUCUUUUUCAAACAUAGAAUGCAUGUAUAGAAUAUAUUUUUUCCAUUGCAUAAGUUUGAUGUUAAUUUUUUAACUUGUUUCAGGAAGAUAUUAUUGGCAAGCUCAUAGAAUUUUUAAUAGCUCCUCAUUCUACAACUACUGUCCUCCUUGCUGAAAAAGAAAAGGUUUCACCCCUCCUGGUUGCAAAAGAACUUAAUCUUCGCAAUUGAAUGCUUCCUUUAUAUUUACUCAAGUCUGGAUCUAGUUCUUUAAUUUUCCUGUGGUUAAUCGCAGUCGAGCAAGGGUAAAAAGCGUAAACGAGCAGUGAAAGGAGGAAUAUCAACUCCUGGAGACAGUGGCUCAAAAAGUUCAGCAAAGGUGGCAUUCUUAUCUCUCUAAGAGUGCAGUUGGUGAAUUAUUUCUUGGCCUUGUUUAUACCAAAUUCCAAUCACACCUGCUCUGUCCAUUUCUGGAUCUAGGUUUUGUUUUAACACUUUCCUGUUAUGCCUUUGUCUUCCAUAGAAGGUAGAUAUAUCAAGUUCAGGUUAAUUGAUGGUGCAUUUUGUUUUUAUGAUGCUUGAGGAAAUUGUGAGUUAUGUUGGCUUCAUGAAAGGAUAUUUUCUUGUUCUUUUUUUUAUUGUUUUCCUAAAAGAAAACUAUUUGUUUUGGUCAGUGUCCUCGCAUUCCAAUAUUUAUGAAAAUUGUUGCCGUUAUGAAUUCUUAGGUCUCACUCUUCUAGAUUGGGGAUCCCUUUGUUAUGGAGUUUUUAAAUUAUUAUUAUUAUUUAUUAUUUAAUAUUUUCUUGGUGGUGGCGUUUUAAUGCCAUGGGACUUGUGAGUGAUGUAGAAUGUGUUGUGUGCGUGAAUGUGGGUCUCAUUUUGUAUUAGCAAACACAAUAAAGUCCUUUAGAUGCUUAUUGUUUCUAAACCAAAUAGAUGUCUGUUUAGGGAAGGGCAUACAAUAGGUCUUUAAGAGAGUACCUUUGACUGCCUCUGAGGAAAGACGGGAGAAUACUUGCCUCCUCGCACAGUGCUUGGAGUUCUGUCUUUUCUUAUCUAGUUUAUAUUGAUAAAAGAGGCCUCUCGACCUUUCUUUACUGACCACAACUCUAAAUCUUUAGUUUGGGAUAGUUGAUCUAGUAGUAAAAGAUUUCUGAUAGCUUAACUACGUUAUUUUAUUUCUGGGUUGACUCUAGAGUUGUAGAAAAAGGGGGAAUAGUGCAAGAUCUGAGAUGACAAAAGAUUCAAGCGAUGAAGAUGAUGAGUCAGAAGAAGAGAAGGAAGCAGAAGAAGAGAAGGAAGCAGAAGAAGAGAAGGAUGCAGAAGAAGACAAUGACAAGGAGAAUGAGAAUGAGAAUGGAACCACAGAAAAAUCUGAUGAUGAAGUGUCAGAGCAGCCAGAAAGUGAAGAUAUCAAUGACCCAACUGAUGAAUCUGAGGAAGAAAGACCCAGAUCAAGUACAAAAAGUUCAUCAAAAAGGAAACGAUCUGUGGGAAAAGCAAGAAGCAAGAAAGUUGCAGGUUCCAAUAAAUCUGAAUCAGCAAAAUCUUCAGCAAAGAAGUCAUCAGCAAGUCGUGCUAAGGUUGAUGAUAAUGAUGCUAGUCCAAAGGUAUUCUCUAGGAAGAAGAAUAGUGAGAAAGAGAGCAAGGCCUCUACACCAACAAAAUCUGCUAACAAGGAGAAACCUGGUAUCUUUCAUGUCUCAUUGCCUCUUCUUUUCUUUUUAUUUUGUUCCAUUUUUUGCCUGGGAUAUAUAAAUAAAAAAAAAUUGUUGCUUUUCAUUAUUAUUCUUCUGAAAUCCAAUUUUUUUUGUAUUAUAUAAUCUGUUUGGGACCCUAAAGAGAUUAUGGAGACUGCGAUCUACACUGCAUUAUUUAUUUAUACCCAUGGUCUAUGUUUUAGGGAAAAAGGUUGUGAAAGGGAAAGAUAAUAAGACCAAGGAGGAGAAAACAAGGCCAAGUGAUGAUGAGCUCAGGGAAGCAAUAUGUGAAAUUCUUAAAGUAGUUGACUUUACGACGGUAAGUAUCAAAUUUAUCCAUACCAAUCAACUAAGUUUAGCUGGCAAUCUCAUUUCUAUACUUGAUAGUUGUAAAUCUGCAUGGUUUUCUGGCUAUUGGAUUUCAUUCAUUCGCUUCUAUCGGUUAUAGAACUGCUAUCAUAUGUUUUCAAGUUUUAACAGUCACUUCAUCUCUUCUCAAGUGGAUGGUUGACGGUUGGGAUUAAAUAUAUGCAUAUCUGAGCUUUUAGAUUCUUUCUUCUGUUAAUGCCAACUGAUGAUAACUUUUAACAGUCGUAGUAGAGUACAUGCAUAUUCACUGGUUUGUAUUUAGUGUUCUGCAAUAAGCAGCACCAAAAGGCCUAAUGAUGCUUCCAAAAUGUGGUUGAUAAGGCAACAGUUGUUCUUGACAUUAGAUGAAUAGCCUAAUGUUUGGAGAAAGACAAGAAAAUGAGUUAGGGAUUGAAUACACAAUAGUUUCUAUAUGUUGGAAAAUGGCCUUCAUCUUACCUUAGGGACUAUUUGGCCUGCUUACUUCUUAAGUUGGUGUAAACAACUCAACUUCAGUAGUGUUACUAUUGAACUUGCAGUAUCAAGUAACUCAAUCUUCUCUUAUUUAUUUAUUUAUUAUUGUUUUUUCACAUUUAUCAAGGAAUUCAAUCUUUCCUUCCAUCUUGACUUUUCACAUUUACGAAAUAACUCCAUCUUAUUUUUUUAAUUUACUUUUUGCAAUUAUUGAGGAACUCAAUCUUUACAACUCUACACCUUAAACACAAACUUACUAACUCCAACAUAUUAACCCAUGGCUUAUUAUCUCCACCUAGUGGGCCAAAACCCCACCCCCAUAGUUUUUGUAACCCUGUUGAAAAAUAUUACAUUUCAUGCUUGCUUUGAAUGGCAGUGUCGGUCAAUUACCUUUUGCAAUUGCCAAAUGACUCGUUUGUUAUUUGUAUAAUGCAGGCCACCUUCACGGACAUUCUGAAGCAGCUUGGUACGUUUCUUACCUAUUAGCAUAUUUUGUGGUUUGUUGAGUUUACAAUUUACAUGUGCUGCUUUUCAUCCUCACGGGAGGUCUCGAUUGUUUAGCUUCUUGUUUGCCACCAAUUGAGAUAUCUAACAAUAAAUAGUACAAAUAAUUGGACUUUCUCUAGAGAAUCUCAAUAAAUCUGUUUGGUUUUGAAUUAUGUUUUGGAGAGUCGUUCUAAACUAAUACAUUUUUCUGAAAGAAAGCGAAAUGCAUUAAUUUUUAACACAGUAGCAUUUUUUUUGUUAAAAAAACAAUUCAUUUGAAGGAUGCUGAAAACCAUUUCCAACCACAUCCUACAACAAAAAUGGUAGCUCUAAUCUGCUUUUGGUAUCUCAGCUCGGCAAUUCAAGAUGGAUCUCACCACACAAAAGUCAUCGAUAAAACUCAUGAUCCAAGAAGAGCUGACAAAACUGGCAGACGAAGCAGAAGACGAAGAAGACGGAGGCGAUGCUGAGAAGGAUGGUAAACAGGGAGCAUCAGGUAAAGAGGUGGAAACUUGAGUCCAAGAGUGUUGGCCCUGGGAUUUGUCUAACAAUAUAUUGAAAAAUCCGUCAAAAAAUGAGUCAUGUUGUAAAGGUGGAUGUAAUUUAUUUGUUUUUAUGAUAAUCAUGUUUACUGCUAAUGAAAAGGUUAGUGUUUUUAUUAGAAAACAAGGUUAGUUGUUACUUUAUAUAGGUGUUGCAAAUAUUGCACCUUCUUUUUAUACUGACAUAUAAAAUCUGUUGGGAAUAAUAAUUCCAUGAAUAUAUAUACUGACCAUUAAGGAAGUGGAAGUGGAAGUGGAAGUGGAAGUGGAAGUGGAAGUGGAAGUGGAAGGGGUUGCUUAGCCUUCAGGUGGUUUUAGGCCUUGUAAAAUUAUUCCCUAUUUUCAUCUUUUUGGCUUUGCCAUGUUUUUAAAUGCUCUUCACUUCACUUUCUUGUUUUGCCCAUCUUUGUCCUCUUCAACACAUCUUCUUUCUUCAUUAUUUGAUUAGAGAGAUUGACUAUUGAUUUUCAAAAUCUACUUCACUAUUUUAUUCUUGAGUUUUGGCUUUGAUAGUACUUUUGUUUCUUCUAUGAGAAUGAAUACAGUUUGAGUUUUUUUUGUUGGUGCUAAUUAACACAAUCAUUUGGACUUGGUUUUAAAAAUAUACGUUUAAAUUUUUUUUGCUCAUCUUAUUUUACUUUGGUUUCGAAUUUUCAAGUUUUAACAGAUUGAUGAGAUUGCUUUGUUAACUUUUUGAAGGAUUGCAUUUAUAUUUGGAGGACUAAUUUAGGGUAUUCAUUUUUAAUCGAUUGGAGAACUUAAAAACUUAGUUGUGUUCAAGAUUUUGAUUGUCACUCUUUUGUGCACUAUCAAUGGAUAUUAUUUUUUAAAUAAAAAGAUUUUAGCAUCUCAAAGUUUGAGAUAUUUUGUUUUGAAGUGCUUUUUUAGGGCAUGUUAUUUAUUAUAAGAAUAUUUAUUUUAAAUUUUGUAAAGUUUAUUUUGUUUAUGUAAUGUACUUAUUUUGUUUCUCUCAUUUUGUUUUUAUCUAGCUAUAGGUGUUGCGUUUUAUUUUACUUUUAUGACAUUUGCUUUAAGAUUUUUUUCAAUAUUGCACUUACAACAAAAAAUUAUAAAAAUAGAUAUAAUUUCUUUCGCACGUAAUGCAUCAAUAAAUUUAUUGACACGAAAAACUUGCAUACAAAACGUUCAAAAUCAAUAUUGUAUUUACAAAAACUAAUGGAACCUAUUUUUGAUAAAAAUUUCAAAUUUUGGUAAAUUAAAAAUACGAACAUUUGUGUAUUUGACCUAUCAUAUGAAAUAUUCUUUUUAAAAAAUACAAGAGUACGUUUUUUUUUGAAAAAAAAAUCAAUAUUGCACUUACAACAUCAAUUUUAAAUAAAUAUAUAUAAUUUCUUUAGCACGUAACAUAUCAAUUAAUUUAUUGACCUGAAAAACUUGCAUACAAAAUGUUUAAAAUUGACAUUGUAUUUACGAAAACUUAGGGAACUUAUUUUUUUAAUUAAAAUUUCAAAUUUUGGCAAAUUAAAAAUAUGAAUAUUUGUUUAUUUGACUUACAAUACGAUUUUUUUUAAAAGAAAAAUACAAGAGUACAAAUCUUUUUCAAAUAAUAAUGAUUUUUUUCAUAAUCAUUUCCACCUAUUCCUUUCCCCAAAGAAGAACUAUCUCAAUCUCCCAUAUUUCUCGUAAGUAUUUUUUUUUCCAAAUAAGGAUUAUAAUAAUCAUUUCUUUUUCAUAAUUCUCAUUUUUCAUAUUCUUUUCCUCCUUAUUCCUUUCCUUCCUCCAAACACUCCCUAAGUACAUAAAACGUCAUAUUGCAUUUUGGGCCUAAUUUUUAGAUUAUGAUCGAGUACAAAUUUCCAUUGGUUCUUCCUUAAAUAUUAUGAUAUAACAAUAUUGGCUUAAAUAAAAUACUUUAUCAAUUUGAACAUGUUUGAAUGUACAAAUAACCAAAUACCAAAUCCCUCCACUCUUAUUAUACUUAAAAAAAAGUGUUAUAAAUAAGUUUGACACCACAAAAUAGGACAAAAAAUGUCGUCAAAAGACGGGUAAAAAUGAGUUUAAAAUAGAGUAGAGCUAACAAAUCGAUUAACUAAUCAAAACAUGCUCAAGGUUAGAAAAAACCACAUCCUAAUCUUCUAAAACUUCAACAUUCUUUCCCUCUUUAACUUAAAGAUGUCGAUGUAUGAAAUAAGAUCCUUCCUUUCAUCGACAAAAAAACAAAAAAAAAUCUCUACCAUUAUUGUGAAAUUACACUUUUUCUACAACUUACAUGAAUUUUGGAAUCAAACAUAAUGCAUUAUGUAUUGUUAUUAGUUGUUUUAGAUAGUAUUUUGUAAAAUAUAAAAGUAUAAAUAAGAUAAAAGAUAAACAUGUCCACUUAAAAGUAAUGGAGCACUUGAUUUCUAGUGACCAAUUAAAGGGAAGAAAAGCAAUAGUUAUUCAAAGUGGUGGGGAUCUAAGCAUAUAUGAUAUCAUUAUAUAUAAUAUAUAUACACACACACGCAUGACUUUCUUCAUCAUAUUUCAUAAUUAACAUUUUACAACUUUCCAAAUCUAUUCAACAACAAUGAUUAAUAAAAGAAAAAAUAAUUGCCUAUACAAAUCACAACAAUAUUAUAAUACCACCAAACAUGACCUAUUUUCAAAUGUAGCCAAAUGAAUAAAGUAGGUAGUUGUUUUUUCUUUUUUGUUAUAUUUUAAAGGAGGAGAACAAAUCUGCUCAAGUUUUAGCAUAUUUGACAUUUCUUCGUGGGGUGUUCUUUGAUCUAGAAAUAUGUUUUUCUAUAUAACAUUCUCUCACUCUUUUCAAUAAGGAGACGAAGAAGCUUGGUUGAAUGAUGUUAUUUUGUUUCUUUUCUUUUUUAAAAAAUAUACUAAAUUCAUCUCGUUAUAAUAUGAAAUCUAAAUUGAGGUAGACGAGUUAUUGACUAUAAUAUCUUAAUUAAAAGUCUACUUUGGUAGUGCCCUCAAUGUUGAGGACACUACACAUAACAACUCAUUCCACUUCCGCUUCCACUUCCGCUCCCAACUAAAGUAUGUAUAAUGUCCAUUUUCCAUAAUUCAUAAGUCAUAGUUUAUAUAAAAUAAAUUGUCCAUUUUAUAUUCGAAUUUCCUAUCUAUAACCCAUAAAUAGAAUUGUGAGGGUAGAGUUUUUUUUUUUUAUAAUCUCUUUUUAGUGAAUUUCGAAUUUUGAUCUUUAAUGGUAGAUGCAAUUCUUCAAAUCUAUCUAUGAUAUAUCAAGUAAAGUUGAAAAAAAGCUAGUUAUGCCCUACAAGACACGAAGAUCUGUUGGAGAUGAUUUAUACAUAAAUUGGUACAAUCAUCUUAGAUGUUUGUAAAAAAAAAAAAGUAAAUAUCUACAAUUUAUAAAAUUCUUUGUAGGUAUACGUUAAGAAAGAUUGAAUAGGUGUAAUUGUUACAAGGGCUAGUCAAAGUAGAAGUAUUUUAGGGUGUCAUUUGAAUAGGUAUUAUUUGAACAAUUUUCAUCUUUUUAUUGAUCACGAGUACAACUAAUUAUUUUGUAAGACAUCCCUUCUCAUGAAUGCUUUUAUUUUGUGUGUAAGCUAAUGUAUUGAAUUGCAUAAAAUAAAUAUAUAUCAUCUCACAAUCCAAGGUCAGAGCACAAUCAAGCACACAUAUAACCAAAGAAAAUAAGAGAACAACAAGAACGAACAAACAAAGAAACUAAAUACAUAAGAAAGACGUACACAACCUAAGUAAAAAGAUUUCAAGGAGGUCUCAACCUACUUUGGUCCUCUCGAUAGAAGUCUUGAGCCGCUAAAAAGACAACAAAGAAAAAUCACAUGAUGUCUUGUAAUAUGACCUUCAAACCAAAGAAGGUUACACCGAGUCACCAUGAGAUGCCUAAGGCACAAGGACUCUCAAGCGAUAGGGAGUCAAAUCACAUGAUCCACCCUUCUAUUGAUUAUACCUUUUCAAAAAAAUUUAACAAGCUCUUUAGAGCUAGAAAACCAAUUUCAAUUUCUAUUGAGAAAAUCACUAACCUACGUGAAUGAAAUUGAUCAAAUCCAAUAUAACAACAAUUCUAAUUAAACAACUGUCGAUUAUGCCCUCUUUCUAACCAAGGGUUCAAAAAUCAUCUUAAGAUGGAAUGAUGUAUCAUCAACACCAAGACAAAGAACUUGAGGCACUAAUCCCCCAAACACUCUCGUUGUGCUAUCUAUGGGGCUUGACCUUUGUGAGCUAUAAGGAUCUAGAACAAAUUAAUUUCGAACUCAUAACAUCUUCAUGAAUAGCUACAAUAUUACAAGAAGGAAUAUGACAGAUACACAUGCCACACCUACAUUACAGAUGACAAACAUUCAACUGAACAACGUUUGUCUUUUCAAUACUCUACAUCUUUUCUUUUUAGAGAUAAAGUGACAUAGAUAAUUUGAGUAUUCAAUAACAUUUUUUGGGUAAAACAAACACACUCGCUAUAUAAAUUUGAAAGCUCUAAAAUACAAAAUAAAUAAGUUAUAAUCUACAACAUCAUUCAAAGCUCUAGCUAUGACUAAUUCCUCACAUAGUAAUAACCAUUUCUAGUAGAGGGUCAAUUGUCAGUGUAUGAUAGUUUGUCCAAGAUAAAAAGCAAGCCAAAAUACCUUGUAGUGAGAGAAGCCAACGAAAAAUUCAUGAACAAUGAAAGCCUUUCAAACUUAUCUAGAGCAAUCCUAACACAAAACAACAAACUUUUUCCAUGAUUAGCAAUAAUAAGGUCAAAUAAUCGUUGAAAUUGACUUAAACCUAUAUGUAUAAAAGAGAGGGAAGCAUAGUCCCCAACACUAAAAAUUUAUUAAGUUAUCAAUAAAAGAAAGGUGAAUGAGCUAGACCUAAUGAUAACUAAAGGUGUGCAUGGUUCGGUUUAGUCUAAUUUUGAUCAAAAUCGACAACUGAAUUGAACUUAACAAUUUUGAAAUGUUUUAAGUGAAGAAUUGAAGUAGAAACCUUCCAAACGCCAUCAAGUAAGCAAUGAAGAAGAUGUCAACAAAAGAAGAAAAGCGAGGUGAGUGAGGGAGUGAUGAAUUAAUUCAUAGAGGUUGCAAAAUUAAGUUGCAAUGGAGAAAGAAAGAUGAAAUGGAGGCGUGGAGUGAGAGAGGUGAUGGCCAAAACUUUGAUAUUAUACAAGAACAUGUCAAAUUAUAAGACGGUAAAACGGUCAAAGACAGAAUAUCGUUCUCUGGAUAUUAGAUGCUCAAAUUUAACCUAACUACUCUCAAAUCCUUUGCCUUUUAUUUUGAACUAAAGAAAACAAAAAAAAUAUAGAAUGAAAUAUGUGUAAAAAAAUAUGUUUUAACUGUAAAAACUAUUAUCCCAAUUAUGUUAUUCAAGAACCAUAUAUUCUCACACAAUCCUAAUUAAUCCUCAAAAUCACUAAAAAGUUGAAACCAAAUUACGAAAAAUGACAAAAAGAAGAGAAAUAACCAAUAGUGGUACUCUACUUUAAUUAUUAACCUAACUAUAUUUGUAAGAUUGAGUAAAAUAUAUUUUGAUUUCCUUUCCUUUCAUAUUUUGUUCUAUAGUUUUAACCAAUUUGGAAAAAAGUUGAGUGAUUUCAAACAACAAUAAAGUGUUAAAAUAAAUCCUACUCCAGUAUUAGUCUUUAAAUCUUUAGGUAUAUUCAAUACAUAUUUAUUACACUAAUACAUAUAAAAUUUCAUUAUGAAUAUAUAUAUAUAUAGAUAUAGAUAUAAAGUUUUGGAAUCAAAGAUUAGGUUUUGCAUUGAGAUAUUGCAUUUUAAUUUGGUUAAAUUAAAUUUUGUUGUUCAAUGAUAGCAACUUGGCAACUCUCCCAUUCCCAUCCCCUUUACAAACAUCUCUCUAUCUCUCUCUCUCUCUCACACACACACACACACACAUUUCACUUCCACAUCCCCUAAUUUCACAAACCCUAAUUCCUCUUCCCCUCUUCCAUGGCGGACUCCGACAACGACUCCGGCGGUGGUUACCAGAAAUCCCCAUCUCCACGUGAACACGACAGACUCCUCCCGAUCGCCAACGUCGGCCGGAUCAUGAAGAAAGCUCUCCCUGGCAACGCCAAGAUCUCAAAAGACGCCAAAGAAACCGUUCAAGAAUGCGUCUCCGAGUUCAUCAGCUUCGUCACCGGUGAAGCAUCCGACAAGUGCCACAACGAGAAACGAAAAACAAUCAACGGCGACGAUUUGCUCUGGGCCAUGGCUACCUUAGGGUUCGAAGACUAUGUGGAUCCUCUCAAGCUUUAUCUCCAACGGUUUCGAGAAAUUGAAGGCGAGAGGACCACGCUUGCCUCACGUGACUCCGCCUCCUCCGCCGCAAACUCCGCCGCAGCUGGGAAUAGUGGGUUUUUCGACGGCGGUGGGGAAUUUGGGGGCGCGGGUGGGAGUGGGAUGGGGAUGGGAAUGACGACGACGAUGCCUCCAAAUGUUUAUGGUUCUAAUGGGCCGCGUUGGGAUGGGCCUGGGUUUAGUACUACCGGUCGGCCCAGGUAGAUGGGCCAUAUCCGCCCAUUGGGUUUUUAUUGGGCCGAGUACUAUAACACUUCUACUACAACAUUCAUUAUGACGGCGACGGGGUAUGCGAAAUCUCCGUUUUAUCCUCCGUAAAAUGAAGAUCGGUAGCUGAGGAAAGGUCAAGUCUUUUUUUCUUUUUCCUUUUUGUUUAAUUUUAUAAAAAAAUAUAUAGUGACGUAGAUAAAUAUUAUUAUUAUUAUUAAUAAUAAUAGAGCAUGAAUUUAAUAAUGUAUUUCCAUUUUAAUAAAUAUGCAUUUGAUAAUUUUUAUAACAAUUAUAAUUAUGUUUCAGUGUUUUCUCUUUUUUGUUGGUUUAUGUUUAAUUGAUGAUUUUCUUUUAACUUUCUGUCUUUGAGACUAAUUAUAAAUUUCAUUUUCUUAACUCUAAAUUAAUGCUUACCAUUUGUUAACUUUUAGAAUUAAGUCUAAAAUUAGGCUCCCAUUGGUUUUAAUGCUAUCUAACGUCCAAUGGUUACCUAUAAAAGAUUGUAAAAUUAAAACAUAUGUUAGGCUAUUGACAUUUCAAAUGAAUGUUUGAAAUUUUGGUAAAAUAUAUAUAUGUGUAAUUGAACAGUUGUACAAAAUGUAAAGCAAACAAAAAUAUUUAAGUGCAUCAUAUACUACUUUAACUCAAUCUAAUUUAUUUGCCACUAAAAUAUAGCCUUGCUAUUCAUUCCAAAUGUUACUUUUUGAAGCAAUUCAAUUCAACUUUGCAUUUUAGACAUAAAUUAUAGUUACUCUAUGUGCAUGUAAAACUAAUGUAAUCUAGUUUGAGUUAGAGAUAUAACUUUUUAGAAUACAUGGACUAAGGUUUAGUUUGGAAUGAUUGUGAUGACAAUUGUAUAUGUUGGUAUAAGCCUAGUCUUUGGUAAUUUUUAUUUUAAAUCUAGAAUUUAAAACUAUAUUAUAAUGUUUGGUAAAUGUUUAGUUAAAAUAUUAAGAUGAGGUAAGAGUAAUUGUAUUCAUGUAAACCUUGAUCAUCUUUCAUAAGUAAAUUCAUUCAACUUUGAAUAGAUUAAUUAUUCUCAUCCUCGUACGAGAAAGAUGGUAGUAUAUUUGACUUUUAUGUGAUGAUAAAGGUAAAUUUGAAAUUUGGAAAAGAAAACUUGAAAACAAGAAAAAUGACUCUCAUGCUAAGAAAACUUUAUAGUGAAAAAGAUGAUAGAAGUUUAAGGUUACUUCAUAUGCGAAAUCUACUAUCGAAGAUAUGAGUUUUUCAUUUUAUCUUUUUCUUAUUUUUGGCUUAUUUUAAUGUAUCAUGUCCAAAUCAAAAGGAAAAAGAAAAAAACAUAAAAGUUGUAUUAAAAUUAAUAUUUGGAUUUUUUUUAUAAAAAAUGUAAUUCACUUUUUUUUUCUUUUUUGUGAUGGGUGAUUAUUUGUUGUAUCAUUGCAAUUAUUGCACCAUCUUUCUUUCUCUUUUUAAAAAGGUAAUCCAUUAUUAUACAUUCGAUGUAGGUUUUUGGGGGAGCGAAAAAAAAACAAAUGUUUAUUAGUUAUAUGAUUCACUCAUCAAUUUCAUAUAUAACUUUCAAAUUCCUUUUUAUCCAAUUUCAUAUAAAAUAAUACUUUGAAUGUGUGUUGAACGAAAAAAUUUGUAUCAAUCACGAAGUUUCACGUCAUUUAUCAUGUUAAUGGCUAAAAAUACAAAUAAUUGAAUUUAAAAUCAAAUAAAAGUUAACAUGGAUUCCAAAUUGAAAUUUGAAAUAUAAAUGAACCAAUUUUAAUGAUGUCGUGUUUUCACAAGGACAUCGUGAAGAAUGAAGUUCCAAAUUUUUUUACGAAGAUGUAAGUUUUCUUCCAAGACUUAAGGAGAUCAUAUGUUCUAUUUUCUUAAAUCAAGCAUAGACAUUUACACAAAGAGAGAAUUAGAAAGUCAAAUAAUAGAGAACGAAUCACUUCACAUCAUAAUUAACAUCAACACAAAUUCAACGACAAGAAACACGUUUCUCAAAAACGUUAUAGGACGAAUACUUGUAUGGGUAGUGUAGCCCAUGUAAGGAAGGAAGUAGUGAUUUAGAAUGAGUUAAAAAUGCAUUUAUAUAUUUAUGGAUUGAGUUGGUUUUUGAGAGAGAAUCACAUGGGCAAAGCACAAAACACCAAACAUUCCUUCAUUUAAUAUUUAAAAGAACCGACAGGUGUUCACGAGCCUCCCUUUCUUUUUUCUUUUUUCUUUUUCUUUUAUAAUAAUAAUCAAAUGUGACCGUCUCUACCAGUUUUCCUCUGCCAUCUAACGACUACUUUACCCGUGCUAGCCGGUCCCAUCUCCCCCAACGGUCACCUUUUCCUUUCCGUCCUCUUUCUUCACACCUAUUAACCUUCACUAUAUAUAUAUAUAUCUUCACCAUUCACUAACAAAUUCAUUUCCAAUUCCGGUCCCAUUUUUGACUUCAUAUUUCGGACCGCCGGUCUAAAACACAGAGAGAAAUCCCCCUCCCCCCCUCAAUAGCAUGGCCAAGUUUGCUUUGUUUAUUACUCUUCUCUUUUUGUUUUCGCCAUUUAUUGGCCUCGUUUUCGCUAACGAUUCCCCUGCCGCCUCCCCAAAACCUCCUAAAACGCUUCAUUCUCCUUCUCCGGCGCAUUCUCCGGUUGUUUCGCCGCCGAGUCACACUGUAUCUCCGUCUAAAUCUCCGGCUGCUUCUCCACCGGUCGUAACUCCGGUAAUUUCUCCGGCAUUGGCUACCCCACCAUCUGUAGCGCCCUCGAAGGCUCCGGCAGCGGUACCUAUUUCUUCGCCGAGUGAAAAUUCUCCGCUUUCGUCGCCGCCGUCUCCUCUCCCUUUCGAUGCUUCUCCGGUUGGGGCUCCAGUGGAACCAGAAAUCCCGGCAAAUCCGAUUUCUGGAGGGUCUCCCGUGGGGACGCCGUCGAUAUUUCCGUCGAGCAGUAGCCCACCGAUGGCUACUCCGACAAGCUUAGCACCGGAAACGGCGGAGAGGCCUGGAAACGACGCGUCGGCGUCAGGAAAGUACAAGAUCGGGGUGGAGGUUAUUUUGAGUGGGCUUUCUAUUUGGGCUGCUUGGGCCUUUUGAAAUUAGGCCCAUGUGUUUAAAUUUUGGUGGUAGGUGUUUUUGAGAUUAUAUUGUAUUCUUUUUUGACUCAACGUGUGGGGUUCUUCUUUUUAUUCAAUUUUCUUAUAUGAAUAUAAUGUUUUUGGUAUAUUUAGGGUUAUUAAAUUAAUAAUAGUUAAACUAAAUUGCUUGAAAUAUUCAAUCGAUUGAAGUAGAAACAAAAUUUCCUCUAUCCUAAACUAGGGUUAGGGUGGUAGUUAUAGUUAUACUUCAAACUUGCCUAAUAAGUUUAAUGAUUCAAACUUACCUAAUAGGUGGAAUGCAUAGUGACAGAGUUAUACCUAAAAUAUUAUUGAAAAAGAGAACAUAAUUGAUAAAAGGAAAUAAAAAUGGAUGAUGAAUAUUUAUAGUAUGGGUUGAGGAGAAAAUAUCUAGAAACACCAUGGGCAUACUGUUUCGUUGAGAAUGAGUGAGUAGUUGAGAGAAUAAGGCAAAAAAAUGGUACUCGUGGAUUGAGAUGCGGCCAAUCAUCCAAAUUAUACACAUCACCUUUCAUAGAUACUUUCUCUUCUUAUCCAUCUUUCUGGGAUAACUCAUGCCAACUAAGAUACGACGAUAAAGAGUCUAUGUCAAUUAUUGCUAAUUUAAAUAAUUUUUUAGUUUUAUUCUAUUUUUCUAUAAUAUAUAUUAGUAUAUUUUUGAAAAAAAUGUGUACGGUCUCUAUUGAUUAUUUGACACAUCAUUAUAAAUAUUAAAUAUCCAUAUGUCCAAAACAACGUAAAAAAAUAUAUUACAUCUAGUCUUUUGCAACGAAAGGUUUACUACGAUAAAGAUGACAAGAAAUAACCGUUGAACAUGCACUUGACAAAACUCUCCCUUGCAAACACCCACAAGUUAAAAAAGAACUCUUCAUCCCUUCUUAUAUUUCCCUAUUUUGAAAAUUAACCUCCAUAUCAUAAACUUACUUAUUGGUUAAGUAAAAUAUUAAAUGUAAUUAACCUCCCUCUCUUUUGUGUUUCUAAGUCAUUAACCCCUUUUCCCUUCACUUCUAGACUUGACACAAUCUUUAAUAAAAUCACAACACACCUUCCAUCAUAAAUGUUGAAUUUCAAGUAAAUUCCAUAGAAUCAAGUAGAUUUAAUUAUAUUGUAGAAGGUUUCUUUUUGUUUAAAUAAAACAAGAUUUUACAUAAUUACAAUUCCAAAUUCCAAAUUGAAUAUUUUUUAUGGUUGUUUUAAAAAUAGAAAAAAGCGAUGUUCUAUUUUUGAUAAUUUUCUUUUUCUUUUUUGUGUGUUUCAUGAAGAGAUGAUCGUUUCUUGUUAUUUGUCAGUUAAUGGUUCAUUUGGAAAAUUGAUGGGUUUUUUUCUCUCUUCCUAACGAACUUCCAUGUUGAAGUUGUCAUACUACAUCAGUUCCAUGAUUUUCAUUUCUUCAAUCAAUUCUUCCAUUUCUUCCAACAAUUCUUGCAUUUCUCUUCCUUCCUCAUCGCUAUGGCCGAAACUGCUGCUCUCCUUUCCCGGUAUCCUCAACUGGGUAGCUGUUUUUCCAAGCAAGUUAGGUUUCAGAAGAUUAAUAAUCUUCAUUCUUUUUCAACUACUCCAUUCUUUAGCAACCAUUUUCUUGAUCGACGCCUAUUCACUUCCUCCAACAACAAUUGCAUUAUCAGGUAUUAUAUUCUUGCAUUUUUGGACCCGGAUUCUGUAAGUGAGAGGAGGGGAAUUUUAUGAUGAAAUGGUUGGAGUUUCUUUCUGUUUAUCACUUGCAUUCUUUCUUUGCGUUUCUUGAGUCAAAUUACUGUUGCUGAGAAAAAUGAAGGGAUAUAGAUGUACAAAUUGUGCUUCGUUUUUUGUGUUUGGGGAAGAUUUCUUUACUAUUCAUGUUUAAGUACUUACUUGACGUUGAUUCUUGCUAUUUGACUUCUUGUUACUGACUUUUCGUAGUUUAAGUUAGUUCGAUUGUUAAUAGUUGCUUGGUUAGAAUGAACGUAAUACUGUUCACUAGUAUUCUCAAAGAAAUUCAUGAUCCCAUCGAAGCAAAGAACAUGGUCAUCGUUGUAUGAGAUUUUUAAUAGGGAUAUCUUGAUCUCUAUUUCUACAUUGGUUCUCUCUAUUGUACUUGAAUGGACUUAUCUAAUCAUGGGUGUUUUUCAGCAUGGAUGCCCGAGAGAAAUCGAGUCGAAAAAUAGUCAACUCCAAACGACAUAAAAUAGUUCCAGUGUAUGUGAUGCUGCCUGUUGAUAUUUUCGAAAGAGGUCCCUCUGGGAUUGUGACACUUACGAAGUAAGCCAUUGUAUUGUUAGUCACUAUCUCAUCUGUUAUAUUGCUUUGUGGAUUUGCAAAUACGUACCAUGUUUAAAUCUGGCGAUAAGUUGAGUUUAUAAUUGAGUUUAGUUUGUAUUCGGUAGGCAUAAAUAUAAAUAAACCGUGUUGAUGUUUCAGGUUUUUGGGUCUUUGUGAAAUAGUUAAUAUGUCUCUCACUUUUUGCUUUAGAAUGAAGGCCGUAAGGGCGUCUCUGAGGGCACUCAAGCUUGCUGGUGUACAUGGAGUAGCGGUUGAGGUUUGGUGGGGGGUUGUAGAAUGUUUCUCUCCGAUGAUAUAUGAUUGGUCGCUCUAUGAAGCACUUUUUAGAUUGAUAUCCGAGGCAGGAUUGAAGUUGCAUGCUGCCUUGUCAUUUCAUUCAGACACGCGCUGGACAGUUAAAGGGAAAGAGGGUGUGAGUCUUCCGCUGUGGAUAAUGGAGGUUGGUUCUUCUAUGCCGGGACUUUUUUUAAUAGAAAGUUUAAAACAGCGUAGAUUUUCUGGUGAUCUUCACACUAUAAGGAUUAACUUUUAUAAUCUCAAAGCUGUUUUUCUUCAAUUUGAUCUUGUUCUACUAUCAUUGUGCUGAAAGUUCGAUUGAUGCUGUAAUCCAACAACCUCUUUUGGAAUGAGAUCAUAUCUUUACCUCUGAUUUGUGGUUUUGGAAAUUCAAUUAUGCUGAAUAUUUUUUCUGCCAGAUUGGUGCUCGCAACAAACAUAUAUACUAUCAAGAUCAAAAGGGAAUGACCAAUGGUGAUUACCUUACUCUUGGAGUCGAUCAUUUGCCUGUUUUAUAUACACGAUCUGCCCUCCAGUGCUAUGAAGACUUCAUAUUCAACUUUGUUAAGAAUUUUGGUCACUCAAUUGGAGACUUGAUACAGGAAAUAAGCAUUGGUCUUGGCCCUUCUGGAGAGCUUAGGUACUUCUACAAUUAUUGAUAUUUAAACGGGAAAUUCAAAGGUGUUGCUUGAGGUCUUACAUGGAGGGACCUUUUACAGGUAUCCUGCACAUCCUUUUGCUGAUGGAAGAUGGAUGUUUCCAGGGAUUGGCGAGUUUCAGUGCUAUGACAAAUACAUGUAAGUCCGAAGCUUUUCAUUUUUCAUGAUUUUCAACUAAUGUAGUCAAUCGUCAUCUUCAGUUCACUUAUGAUUUAUGAAGAGGUUGCUCUUGUUUCAGGUUGGCUGACUUGAAAAUAGCUGCAGACCAAAUAGGCAAGCCUCAGUGGGGGAACCGAGGCCCCCAAAAUGCUGGUGACUACAAUAGCUCCCCUUCUGGGGCUCCUUUCUUCGAAGGGGGAGAGGGAAGCUUUCUCUCUGAAUAUGGACAUUUUUUUCUUGUACGCAUCACAACCUUACAAUAAAUGCCUCCAAACUUUUCUUGUUAGAACUUCCUCACUAAUGAAAAGCUUAUUUAAAAGCAUGAAACCAUUGCCUUUAUCGAACAGGAAAAUAUCAAUGUUCACAUUCUAUCCGGCUGCUAAACAAUCGAUUUCUUUGCCAACUGGAUUAUAUUCCUUCAAUCUGUUAUUUACCAACUGGAUUUUAUUUCUCGAGUAUUUGAGGGCUUAUAUGGCAGAAUUUUUUUUUGUAGAAUUGGUAUAGUGGGAGAUUGAUUGAACAUGCCGAUGCUAUUCUUGGGAAGGCAGCUCAAAUAUUGAAGAGGUAUCUACAAAAGGAUCAUCCUUCAGUUACAUUAGUGGCUAAGCUUGGUGGUAUAUACUGGUGGUACAAGACAUUUUCUCAUCCUGCAGAACUUACUGCUGGUUACUACAAUACUGAAACCAGGGACGGUUACGAUUCUGUAACUUCGAUGUUGUCCCGUCAUGGCGCUGCUUUACACUUCCCGUAAAAUUCUGUACUCUUCGAUGUUCAUAUCAAUCAGCAUGUUCUGUUUCUCUUAUAGAUUGUACGUUCAUGUUUUUCAUUGCAGCUGCUUAGAAAUGGUGGACGACGAAACACCCUCACUAUAUGACUGUAGUCCAGAGCGUUUGUUCAAACAGGUUGGUGUCUAAAAUCACUGAUUUACUCAAAAAACCAAAGCGCACUAAUGAGCGAAAACAAAUUUACUAUCAUAAUAUCAUCUAAUAGAAUGUUUUUUUUUUUCUUCUUUUUUCCAACUUAGAUUGUGGACGCAUCAAAACAGAACUUUGUUCAUUUGAUAGGAAGGAACACAAACGAAAGGUUUGACAAGGUAAAUGGAGUUUAAUUUGUUCAUUUUGGGAUUGAGUUUAGUUUUAUGAUAUAUUAUGAUGAAUUUUGAUUGAAUGCAGGAUGGGUUCUGGCAAAUUCAUGCCAAUUGUUGUCAUCCAGGAAACGAUGCUGUUAAAUCCUUCACUUUUUUCAGAUUGACUAAGCAGUUUUUUUGGCAUGAAAAUUGGAUCAACUUUGUUCCCUUUAUCAAAAUGAUGAGCACUAAUAGCUACUGAAUUGUUCAAAACUACACUUCUUUUUUGCUGAAACAUAAGUUCAAACAAUUCUUUACAAUAAGAUUGUUAAUACCUGAUCAGUAAACAUCUAUCUUAUAGUUGGCCUUUUCAACUCUCAAAUAAAAACAAUAAUAAUGAAAAAUUGUUUCUUAUUAAAGUAUGGAAAUUAAAUUAUUACAUUUAUAAUAUUUUUAAAAUGUAAAUGUUUAGAAAUUAAAGUUCAUGAACUCUAGCAAAAUUUAAUUUUUUAAGAUAUUAUUGUAUCGACACGCUAAUAUAUCUUAGUAAAUGUUGAGUUAUAAGUUUGGUUUAAUUUUAUUUUCUUCUCAAAGUAAGGUUAAUAAAAUUUUAUUUUCAAAAUAAUGUUGAUCGGUUACUUUUAAAUGUAUUGUUAAAUAACUUUUAAUUGAUAUUUAUCCUUAAAAUUUUAUGAUUAAUGCACCGCUUUUACAAACUAUUAUAUAUAAUUUAACCGUUCAAUUUAUAACUUGGAGGACAGAUGUCAAAUUAUAUCGCUAUAAAUUUCAAACUAAUAACUUUUAUUGUAAGACUUUGCGAGUUUAUCUAAAUAAAACACAAAAGAGGGCUUCAAUUGACACCAUUAUAAAAUUUUAGGAUUUAAAUAAACACCGUUAUAAAUUUUCAAUGUUUAAAUUGAUAUAAGAGUAAAAUGCACCUUUGGUCCUUGAGAUUUGAAGUUUAAAGUCUAUUUUGUUCUUAAAGUUUCAAAACACAUUUUGGUCGUCCUUACAUUUUCUAAAUUUUUCAAAAUAGUAUCUGAAUUAAUCUUGAUUUAACAAAUGCUUACAAGACCGUUAAAUGUUGACUUGACGUUGGUUAUAUUUGAUGAUACUUAAAAAACUUAUCCUCAAGUUUGAGUGACCAUGAAAAAUGGAGGGAGAUCGAGUGAUAUUUAUUAUUUAUGACGUUUUGAAGCUAUUAAGAGGAGUUAUUAGUUUAAUAGAUACUUUUUGUAUGGAGGGUUGAAAUUAUAGAUAUUUAUUUGUGUUUAAAGAAAAGGAAAUGGUAUAAAAACGAAGAGAGGCUCCAAAAUCAACACGAUUGGAUUUCAAAAUCCUUUUCUUCACAACUUCAAUGGCGUUUCUUAUCUUAAAUCUCUCUCCCAAAACCCCCCAUUCUCCCUUCUUCCCCUCUCUCUCAAACCCCAAAACAACCACUCUCAAUUUCACCACCACUCUCCCACGCCGAUGGCUAGCCCGACCACGCAUCCUCACCGUCCGGUCCACCGGCGACGACAACAACAACAACUCUGCCGAUGCCCCCGACCGCCUCAUCUCCGCCAUCUGCUACUUCUACCCCUUCUUCGACGGCGUCCAGUACGGCAAGUACGUUAUCACUCAGUACACUCCAUUUCAGGUUCUGAUUCAACCUUUAGUUCCGGCGAUUCGUGUUUUCAAGAGCUUUCCAUUGAAUAGCUUUUUGGUGUUUUUAACUCUUUACUUCGUCGUGGUUAGAAACCCUAAUUUCAGUCGGUAUGUUAGAUUCAAUAUUAUGCAAGCCAUUGUUCUCGACGUGCUUCUGAUUUUCCCUGAUCUUUUGGAGAGGAGCUUUAAUCCUAGAGGGGGACUAGGGUUGGAUUUAGUGAUGAGUUUGGAUAGUACUGUGUUCUUGUUUCUUUUGAUUUGUUUGAUUUAUGGGUCUUCUUCUUGCUUGUUGGGUCAGAUCCCUAGAUUGCCCAUUGUUGCUGAUGCUGCUGAUAGACAAGUUAUGUGAAUUCUUUUUUUCUUCACUUCUUCGAAAAUGGAUCAGUUUCAUUAUUGUCGUUCUUGCUGAUUUUGUUGGGGGGGGAAUUUGGAUGGGAAUACUCAAAUUGUUCUUCAUUUGGGGGAAACCUAGUUGUAGAUUAAUUACGUGUUUCCAAAUUUCUACACACUUGUGAGGAUGAAAUAGUUAAAGAAAAAUCCAAGUUAGAAAUGAUCUUCAAUGUUCAUUGUCCAUUUUUCUGUUGUUAGUUUGUUCUUGAAUCUCUUCCCAUGUUAAUAAAAAAAGAUAAAUAAUAAAUAAGUGAAAAAGUGCAGAAAAUUAAUUUAUUUUUUUAACCAUUUAUGUUAGGAGGAGCUUAUACAUAAAUCAACUAAUCUCACUGGUACAACAACGCACAUUAAUCCCACAACCUAAACUUAGGAAUCAACCAACGUCAAUAUAUUUGAAUUUGUAUCUAUUAAAAUCUCAAUCAGAGUAGAACCACUCUACCAAAGAUAAAGAAAAUUAAUUAUUUAAUAUAUAUUGUAAUUUGACCCUUCAAAACUAAUAUUAAAAUAUAAAAAUUGAAAAUGUGAGAGAUACGGUCCAUGCCCAUUAAUAGAUUUGUCCAUGAUUAGUUAAAUGUUUAAAUUGACCUAAUCUAAAAUUUUAGGUUUUUUAGAAUCUAUCAAUCAUUAGUAUAGGCAUAAGGGGUUCACUCUCCUCAACUUGAUUGUUUUUAUAUAGGAAUGAUUGCAAAUUUAGCAAUUAAAUUCAAAAUAAUUAAGUAUAUAGCAACAUUUUAAAAAAUUGCAAAUAUAGCAAAAUUUGUCAAAUUCUAUCAAUGAUAGAGUCUAUCACUGAUAGAUCAUGUUGUAAAAAUUGGUCUUUCACCGAUAGAUCAUACGAGUCUAUCAACGAUAGUUUUGCUAUAUUUGCAAUUUUUUAAAAAUGUUAUAUCCUUAAUUAUUAUUCCUUAAAUGGUCAUCAAUUACAAUUAUCCUUUUAUAUAAUAUGUAUAAACAGAACCAAUUAAUAUUUAAUAUUUGUAUUAACUAUAGUCUCCAAUUUUACACUUUUAACCAUAUGUCCAAUCCUAAAAUUUAGGAUGUAAAUUGGACCGAAGUAGAUGAACUAAUUUUCGUAUCAUGGAAACUCAUCAACUUAUUUAGCAUAGAGGAGACUUAAGCUCUUUCAACUUUAUGCUCUUUAUAUUAUAUAUAAAAGAAACUAAAAGUGAUAUUAGCUAACCAUCAUUCGAUCAUUUUACACUCGAAUUUAAAUUUUACCUUCGAUCUUUACACCCAAAUUUAAAUUUCACAUGUUCAUCAUUAAACAGAGGAUUAAUUUAAUUAAAUUUUUUGAAGAUGUAUUAACUAUUAACUAAACAAACACCACCUGAGAUCCAAAUGUAGUUUAAAAGAAAAAAUUAUAUGGAAAAGUCAACUAAAAAAGAAAACAAAUUUGAAUCAUUUUGGUGGGAUUUAAAUUGAGUAUCUUAUACUUAUGAUGUUUUCUCUCUCUCUUAAAUCAUUUCCAUUGUAAAGCAAAGGAGGGAGUGAUUUCCAAAGCCACAUGGGACCUUGGGUUAUUCAUUCUCUCUUCUUCAUAUAUUUUCUUUCACUUUUACGGGUGAGCGGAUCCCUUAAAAGGUUAGGAUGCUCUUCACAUUCUCAACUUUUAUAUUUUAAUACUAAUUUUAAUUUUUGAUUAAAAUUAAAAUUUAGGAAUUUGUAUGAAAGAUCGUAAGUAUUCAUAAUUAUUAAUUAACUGAGAGUAAUGGAAUAAAAAUUUGAAGAGUAUAAAGCAGAAUAGGCAUAAUUAGUAGUAUUAAUUAUAUCCCAUUGCAUGAGGAUCCAUUCAUUAAGAUCUCUUCCAUUAUUACUCCAUAUAGCUUAGCUUCCACUUCACUUUAGUUUCCACAUGUUCCUCACCAUUUCCCAAAUCCUACAAACAAAAACCUCUUUUCCUCAUUUUCAUCUCAUUUUCUCUAAACCCUAAAAAUGAAUCUUCUCUUCCUCUUCCUCCUCCUCCUCUUCUUCCCAUCUCUCUUCAUUGCCCAAACCACCACCAAUUCUCCUGCCCCAGCCCCGACUACACUGGCUCUCGACUCCACCCAACUCAAUCUCACGCAUAUCCUCUCCACCCAUGGUUGCUCUGCAUUUGCCCUAUCCCUCCUAAGUUCCACAUCGGCGGAGAAAGCCUUCAACGACGUAGUCGAGGGUGGCUUUACCGUUUUCUGCCCAAACGAUGAUGUUUGGAGCGAGUUUUCACCUAAGUUCAAAAACCUAACUCCACCCGCUAAAACCUCCCUCCUUGAAUUCCAUGGUGUCCCAAUUUACAUGCCGUUGCCGGUUCUGAAGUCGAAUAACGGUGACACCAAUACGCUGGCCACCGACGGUGCUGCUAGAUUCGACUUCACGGUACAGAACGAGGGUGAGGAUGUGACUGUUAAAACCAGCAUUACGACGGCUAAGGUGGAUGGGGCUGGUGUUUUUGAUGAGGAUCCAUUGGUUGUUUAUUUGAUAGAUAAAGUUUUGGAGCCGGAAGAGUUGUUUACUGCGGACGUAAUGGCUCCGCCAAAGGGGGGAUCGGAUGUGGGAGCGGCUCCAUCGUCGGAUUCACCGGCAGAAUCUCCGGAAGAAUCUGUGGCGGAUCAAAAUGCUGAUGGCAACUCUGGGGUUAGAGUGGAGGGUGGAGAUCAGUUUCAUUUCAUGGCUGUAGCUUUAUGUGCAUGGAUGGGAUUUUCACUGCUGUAAUUUUUUUCUUUUUUACUCUUACCAAAUUGGAUCAUCCCCUUUGAUUAUCUUGCAAUGAAGAUUUAUCUUUUAUCUACUAAAUAGUCAUUUCUAUCAAAUUUUCUCAUACAAAUUUUAGUAUUUUUGUCAAAGUUUUUAGACUAUAUUUUAAAUUCAUUCCAUUUUAGUCCAAAUAUUUUUAAUGGUUCAAUUUUAAUUUUUUCCCUUUUACUUUAUUGCAAUUGAUUUAAUAAUAACAAUAAUUUUUUUUAUAGUUAACAUGUGAAUGUAUUUUCAAAAUUUUAGCAAAUGCUUUGGUACAUAAAUUUUCUUUUUAAACAUCAAUAGCAAAUUGUAUUAUAUAUAUGUAUUAGAUAAUUAAGUUUGUUUUGUAAAAUUAUCUUUUGCAAACAUAAUCGAAAACACAUGAAUAAUACAAUAAUACUUAUACAACUUUUAAGUCCACUUCCACUCAUUACAUAAACAUAAUACUACUUUUAAAACAACACACUCAUUUUUUUUCUUCUAAAUCUAUAUUAAUUAUUAACAUGCUAAAAAAACAUGUCAACCAUAAUUAUUCAUCAUCAUUCUUUUGUUCAGAGUGUAGAGGACGGGACUAAUUCCUGAUUUGGUUGAGUUGACAAUCCAAAAUAUCGAAUAAAAUAGUUAAGUUAUAACUUAUUUAUUCUUAUUAGUUUUAAAUAAGUUAAGUUUAUGGAUAACUUAUGAUUAAUAACCAAAAUUUUAUUAAAUUUGAAUAUAAAAUACCAAAUAUUUAAUACAAAUUUUAAGCAAAAAAGACAAAUAUCAUAACCAUUUUAAAAGAAAAUAUUAAAUAUUUUUGAAUUAAUCAAUUAGCAAAACUUUAAACGAAGAAAAAUGUACGUGUACAUAGAAAAAAUUUAUUAAUCCAACUCAACAACAAAACUAACCUAUCUCAACUCUUGUAUUUUGGAUUGGAUUGUUCGAAUUGUUGUAGUAGAUGUUUUAAUACUAUGAAAAGGUAAAUGAAAUUACCAUUUUUACAAGAAAAAAAAGGAAAAGAAAAGAAAAGACGAACAAAAAAGAAAAGGUUUGUUACAAAAUUUAGCUAGAGUGAUAGGGCAAGAGACAACUAGAAGAAGUGAAAAUCUUAGUAGAGAAGAAAAAAGGAAAAGCAAUUCUCGAAGUAGCGACGAGUGAAAUGAAAGUAGCUUAGACGAGGGAAAUGAGAGUAGUUUAGGUCGUAAAAUCGGCUACUAUAAUAUAUCAUUUGUCAAUCACUAACAAAUUUUAUAUAUGUGUAAAUAUUCAAUUUUGUAAUUUAAAACUAUUUUUUCUUAUAUUAUUUUUAUAACAUAAUAAAAACUAAAUGAGAAUUGAAGGUGACUAUUAGGAUACAAUUAUGUGAACUUUUCCAAUCCAAUUUGAUAUAUAAUUUUUUGCAAUUUGAUGAAAAAAAGCCAAAGAAAAAUCCAUUUUCGGGUGUUUGAUUUGUUCAGCAAGAAGUGUUAAGAACGAGAAGGAAAACGGCAAAAGUUCAACCGGAGCAAUGGAGGAAUCUCAGGAAAUUCUUCUCAAUUCUCUCCAAAAAUCAGGUGUUUCAAUCCCAACAGACCUUUCCUCGAUUCGGAACUUAUCCCCUCCCAUAUUCUUCUCCAUCUGUGCUCAAGUUUUGAAUCGAAUACAUCCCCAAACUAAAACCCCCUUCUCCACUUCUCUUCCGGACUCUGUCGCCGAUCAAUUCAAGGUAUCUUCUGAAAUCGCUUCCGCCAUUAAGGAUCUGGGUUUCAUCGGAGAUAUUAGCUUCCACAAGGUAUCCCACUACUUCCUUUUUUUCACCAACUAAUUUUGUUGCUGUUUAUAUUUGGUUCGUUUAUCAAUUUACUCAGCUCUGAUUUUGGUACAUUUUCCAUGUUAGCAUUCUAUUUCUGUUCAUGGUGAUCGUAGUGCAGCUUAAAUUUUAAGGAGAGUGAUAAAUUUAUAAUCUAAACUUCGUAUUGUACCUCUUGGACAUUAUUAGCAAAAGUUAAGGCACCCCAUUUGAUGAUCAUUUUGUUUUUGGUUUCAAUUAUGCUUGUUUUCUCAUCCUAAACAUGUUGGAUUUUCAAGAACUAAAUCAAGAUUAUACAAACUAGUUUUUUUAGUUUUGAAAAUUUGGGGUGGUUUUGAAAACGGUUUUAAAAAGUAAGUGAUAAAGCAAAAAAACUGUAUGUGGAAGUAGUGAAUCUGAGGUUAAUAGACUUUUUUGGAAUUGUACUUAGAAACAGACUACAUGUGUUGCUUACAACAGUUCUUGUAUCCAUCUGAAGAGGACUUGUACAAGCUGAUAAGAUUCUUGGUGGAGAGGCUUCCUGAAGCUUCAGAUGGAAAAUUUAAGGUUUUGGAAGAUGGUGAUGGUAGGAAAGAAACAAAAGCCGACACUUCGAAAUGCUACUAUGUGGAGAACCAAUCAAACAAGAUCGAUACUGACGAUUCCGUUUCUACCCAUCAGAAGGUUGAGAACAAACUUGCUGAUCUCAAUAUUGUUGCUGAAGAGACAAAAUCUCCAGAUUCCAUCGUUGAUAGAUUCUCUGAUUUCCAUCUCGACCGAAAAAGUUCGGGUGAAGCAGCUAUGGUCGACAAUCUUGUUAACGCUUCCAAGGAUCAGUCUGAGGUGUCUGGAAAUGAAUCAGUUGAACUGCAGGGGAAUAAUAGACACGAAGUUGGUACUUACAUUCAGAAGACCUUUGAAGUAAGUACAUAUGUUUCUUAACUUCAAACAAUUAUUAAAAUCUAGAUUUAGACAUCAACUAGACAUAUGAGAGAACAAAUAAAUGGUCUUCCCCUUGGAAAAGGGUAUUAGAUUGGAUGAUAUAACGAAUAUAUGAUAUCUUCUUUUUUCGAAUGAGAACUGAGACUAAGGAAUUUCAGGAUCAAGAGAUCGGACCAUUGGAAGAGGUCACUACAAAUGCUUCUGAACUAAAGCAUUUUCAAGUGGAGUUGGAAAGGUUGAAGGCAGUAACCAGUAUUGUAUUUGAUGACAACCAUUCGAUUGAAUUUCAUCUUCGGCAGCUGGAGGAGCAAAUAAAUUCUAGAAAACUGGAUCUUCUUGAAAUGAAGUCACGGUGGUGGGGCAUCAUUUCAGUUUGAUGGCUGGAUUAACUUUUAUACUACUGCUUUGGCAUUAUAUUUAGUUUAAAAACGAAGUCAUGUAGAUAUUAAAUUCUAAUACAAAGAUGUAGAUUUCAUUUGUUUUUUUCUUUAUCAUUGAUCUCUACAGGGAUGCAGAGAGGGAGCUUUUAGAAAUUAAAAGGCGAAGUCUACAAGAAUCACUAUGUGCAAGUAAUCCAAAGGCUCAAGAAAAGCUGCAAAAAUUGAGGGAGUUUGAAUCGGAAAAGAAGCUCAUUGAGUUGGAAAUCAGGAGGCGGUAUGCUACUUUCUUUUAAUAUUAAAUAGGAAGUGAAUCCUUACUGAAAUCUCUGAAAUAUUCUCAGUAUUUCUAGUAAUAGUUUUUCAAAAUGAACUACUGUCACAUGAAAUAGAUGUUUUAGAUUAGAAGUUAUUUGGAGAAUACCCUCCACGUCUUAGUUAUAAAUUGAGUUUUUCUUUACUUUUGAAGAGUGAAAAGUACUUGUAGCUAAUUAAAAAUUACUUUUAAAAUUUAUUUCGGUAUUUUAUUACAUUAACAAAAAUGCUUUUAUAAAAUGUAAGCACUAGUCCUUAGAAGUACUUAACUGGUUUGCAUAUUUGUCAAAAAUCAUCUUGAACUUACCAUCAAGUAUCAAUCCCUUAGGUUAAAUCUUAAUCAUUAUAGAUUAGUGGUUUCCUGAGCAAGCUAGGUUUUGAAAAUCAGUAUCAACCUAUCUUUAUAUAAAGUGAUGUCGUAAUGAGGGCUUUUCCUUUUUGGGUGGGUGGGUUUGUUGGCAUAUGAACAUUGAUGUUACUGAUAACGGGAAGUAAUCUGUACUUUUGUGGAGAUAGUUUUUAGGGAUCUAUUGUGUGUUAUGUUAGUAUUUUAUAUUCAAAAUACAGUUCAUGGUGUCUUUUUCAACAUUUACAAGUUUUACAUAUUUUAUUUUUUGGUUUAAACACGAUAGAUUAUAUAGUUUUUCUACCCCAACUCCAAGAAAAUUUCCUGAUCAUAAUAUGCAACAUAAAAAUUUCUUGCAUGCCUAGAACCAUAUUAAUUCUUCCUGAUCAAAUAUUGUUAUCCAUUCUUCAGGGAGGAAGAAAAUUCUAAUAUCGCAAUAGAUCUUAAGAAGCAGCCCAAGCAAUUAUCGAGACGAUCCUAUAUCAAUAGAGUAAAAGAGAUCACAAAAAACAGUCGGAAACAAGACGCUGACAUUGAUCGAAUCCUUAAAGAAACUAGAGAGCUUCAACUAGAAAGUAACAAUAUUCAAGAACGCCUCCAUAGAACCUAUGCAGUUGUGGAUGAGCUAGUUCUCAGGUAUGCAUCACAGAACUCUUGCAUCGUUGACUAAUGUGGUGGUAUUAACGUCUCGCUUUCUCGUCCCUCUUUUACAUUUCAUUCUCAACCCGAAAAAGAAAAUUCGAGGUUUUAUCUUGCUGAGAAAACUAGCUGAAGUGAUUCAUGUCUAUGCAGGGAAGCAAAAAAAGAUGACACAGGCAAACAAGCACACAAGCUUUUAACUAAUAUCCAUGAGAAUUUUGGCGAGAUCUCGAACAAAAUCCUCUCAACUGAUAGACUAAGAAGAGAAACUGCAGAAUACGAGAAGAAGAUAGCGGCCUCGGCAUCCCGAAGCUUAAACUUUAACAAACUACAAGCUGAUCUGGAUGCUAUCAGGAGAGAAAAUGGUCACCUGGAGCAACAUCUAUGCCAUAAAAAAACCAUUGACAAAGUGUAGAAUAUUUUCUGGGGUUUUGUUUAGCGUAAAUCAUUCAUCAUGCUUUUUGCAGCGAUUACAUUCUAGUGUAAAGGAUAGAAUGAUACAAUACAAAUGGCACUGCUGUUACUAAAUUGGGAUUUCAAUAAUGAGUUGGAAUUUGAUGGCUUAUGAUAUAAGUUUUCUACUUUUGGGUUUUUAUUGUGAUUUUAGAUGUGUAUUGAAAUGGAAGAUAGCAUCAUCAUUUUUAGGGUAGGGGAUUCCUUGAUUUUCAAGUUACGUACUCCACUGGAACUUUGGUGGUUAAGCAGUUUUAGGCAUUUUUCUUCCCUUUUAACAUUUUGAAGCUUCUUCUACUUGAAGAAUCUUAACAAAUUCCAUAAUGAUUAAGGGAAUAAGUUUUUACUUGUUGUCCAAAAAUUUAUUACUUGAUAAUUCUUUUAAAAAUAAAACUAUUACUUCACUAUUGUAUUUCUAUUAAAUAAGGUCUCGUUUGAAAUCUAAUAAGGUUGCAAAAAAAAAAGUUUUUAAGUGGAGAAAUGAUUAUAUUAAAAUUGCUUACAAGGAUGUCAUAUAUUUUUAUUAAACAAUUAUAGAAACGUUUCUUUAAUUAUCAAUGUCUAUUAUUGAUAGAACUUUGAAAAUUUACCUUUUUUUUAUCUCUAUAUUUGAUAACUAUUUUGGUUUAUUAUGAUAUAUUCGAAAAAGCUCCUUUCAAAAAAUUGGUUUUUAACUUGAAAAUUUGAUCAAAAAUUCGAAUAUUAACCUAAAAAAAGAUGAGAAGUACGGUAAAAUCGAGGGAAUUAAAAGCUAAAUUAUUAAAUGUUAGUUUUCAUAAAUAUAACAAAACACCGUAAAUAAGUUCAUAUAACAAAACAAAAAACUAAUUGCAAAAUAUUUUAGAUGGUUUCGAUUUCUUCUGCAAUUUUUCUUUUAUAUUUUUUUGAAAUCACGAUCAUUGUUCUACUAUUAUUAUUAUUAUUUUCCAUCAUACUUCUGCUAUUAUUAUCUUUAUUUUCAAUUAAUCUUCAAUCUUGAAUUAUUCUUUUCAAUAUGUCAUGGACACAGAUGAACUAUAUAAUUGUUUAUCAUAGAGCUUUUCAAAACCAUCGUUUGUCAUGCACAACACGAUCUUGUAUCAUAAGCAUACACAGUUGUGUAUCAUAAUUUACACGAUCGUUUAUUAGGGCUUUUCAAAACCAUUGCUUAUCAUGAACUACGCAUGGUCAUGUAUGAUCACAAGAUCGUUCACUAAGUUUUUUUUCUUUUUUCAAAACCAUCGUUUAUCAUGAACUAACAAUCGUGGAUCAUGAACCAUGCGAUGAUGUAUCGUUUCCUAUAAUAUUGCAUAUCAUGAUUGUUUAAAAGAAGAAUUACACUCGCAUCUAGCCAAUUAAUCAUGUGUCAUUUUUUGUAUUUGGCUCGUUUAUUAUAUUUUUUUAAAAACUCCAUUAUUAAACAAAGACUGUUUUCUUUUGUCUUAAAGUUUGGCUUAGACAAGAAAGAAAAGAAGCACGAGCACGUAUGUAAAAUUUAUAUUUAUAUGCUAAAAUUUCAAAACAAUAAUAAUAAAGAAAAAUGAAACUUUUAGUAACGAUAGUUAAUCUUUUCAUCUCCUAAGUUAUGCUCGAAUUGACUAAUAUAUCAUUAUUGUUAUUAUUAUUAUUAUUAUUUCCAUUAAAUAUAAUUAAUGAAACCUUAACUUCUCCGUAAACAACCAAUGUCGGUUCUGAUUUUGUCACCCAACUGUGACAAACGCUUUACACGUGGACGUCUAAGAACCUGCCAAGUGGUAUCUACCAUUGGACCCACCACCCUAAUAUAACCAUACAAUCAAUCACAAUGAAAGCAAAACUAUAACCAAAUCAUUUCAUUUCUUUUCUUUUUGUAAUUUGUGUGUGUUCUUUUUUGGGUGAAUUUCCCCAAUCAUCCUUUCAAAAUAAAAAAAAUUCUUUUAUAAGGGUCUCUUUCUUCUUCCCUCAUUGAUUUUCUCUAAAAGAGGUUGCCACAUUGCCAUCACUUUUGCUUCUCCAUUUCCUCCAUUGAUGUGUGAUUUCAAUACAACUCUGCUUACACAGAAAUGGGGUUUCUUGAUUCUCUGUUUGGAAAAGAUUCAAGAAAGUUUAUCAAAAGAAAAGAUAGCGAUGCUGGUGAAGCAGGUGAUUUCACUUUCACCCUUUUUAAUCCUCUUUUGUUUGUAUAUGUUUUUCUUUAGUUCAAUCUUGGAUUUCUGGCAUCUGGGCUUGUGUUUUUCUUUUUCCUUUUUAUUCUUAUCGAUUGCAUUGUGGUUUCCAAAUCCAAAUUCAUUGGUUUGAUUUGGGGAUUUCAUAGUUUUUGCAUCUUCUUCUUGUAGUUGAUAUUUGGAAUUGGAGGUUCCGUUUUACAUUGUAAUUUCUGAAUUGUUCUGUGUAUGAAGAUUUCAUUUAUUAAUAAAUAUGAGAUACCUUGGCUGUUUCCUAUUGAUCAUUGGUGUUGUUAUCUAUGUUUUUUCAUGAACAGAAGUUCUCAUACUCUAUAAAUCCACAGGCCGAGCGCUCGAAGAAAUCAGAGGUUCGCUUUAUAAUGAACUACGAACUUCCGAUGGGGCGAAACGGCAACAGCAGCGAUAUUGCGGACCUGUAGUGGCAAUGACAUUCAAUUUCAUGGUUGCUGUUGGAAUUAUAAUGGCAAACAAAUUAGUAAGAAAAAUGUUUUAACCAUUUGAACAUAUUUAGAACAUAUUUAUUGUGUUUGGGAAUAGACGAGGCUCUUUACGUUUGUGUGUUUAUUAUUUUUAUUUUGUUUUGUUUUGCAGGUAAUGGGAAGAGUUGGAUUUAACUUUCCAAUAUUUCUCACAUUAAUACAUUACACUAUUGCAUGGUUUUUACUAGCAAUUUUCAAGGCACUUUCUUUGCUUCCUGUUUCUCCUCCUACCAAAACCACUCCCUUCUCUUCUCUUUUCUCCUUAGGUGUUGUCAUGGCUUUUGCUUCAGGUCUUGCCAAUACAAGUCUAAAGCAUAACAGGUUUCCCCCUCGGAUUCUUUUUCCUUUCCUUUGUCUUUCACAACGAGUCGUUGGUCGGGUUGCGCAAGAGGGGGGGAUAUUGUUUUUAAAAGCUAUUGAGGCUUAUGCUUAAGGCUCGCCUCGAGGCGAGGCUCUAACUUUUAGCUUGAAAUUUAAGCCUUUGUUGAACCAUAAGAGGCUUACGCCUCCCAUAGAAGGGGUUUACACCUUUGUAAAAGUGUAUCAAGGAUUAAAAUCUCUACACCUCGUGUAAUGGUUGGAAAAAUACUAGUGAAAAUUUGAACUCUUUUAUUACUUUUUACUGGUGUAAUUAAAAUGUCAUCAAAUACCGGAUUUGUGAAAUGUUUUCAUUUCAAUUUGAGGUUUACGUCUCAUACAGUCUCGAAACUUCCACUUCACCUCUUUAAGAAGAAAAGCCUCAAGGUUGCUUUUAGCUUUUUAAAAUACUUGGGAGGGGAAGCGUUUUCUUUGGUUUCUUACUUUUGAAUUCGAUGUGCAGUGUUGGAUUCUACCAGAUGGCUAAAAUUGCAGUAACUCCCACAAUUGUUUUUUCAGAGUUCAUACUCUUCAAGAAAACCAUUUCUUUCAAAAAGGUCCCAACAAAACAAAAAAAUACAAUAUAUAUCUAUCCAUAGAGAAAUUUGCCUACUUCCUCAUGAUGUGUUUGUUUUGUUCAGGUAUUGGCUUUGUCUGUCGUCUCCAUCGGUGUUGCGAUUGCAACCGUAACAGAUUUAGAGUUCAACCUAUUUGGUGCCUUGAUCGCAAUUGCUUGGAUAAUCCCAAGUGCCAUAAACAAAAUACUUUGGUCGAAUCUGCAACAACAAGCGAGUUGGACGGCAUUAGCGUGAGUUCUUGUUGUUAUUACUUUACAUUUGACCUCUCAUCUCUCCCCAUUGAGGAGACCUAUUUUUUCACAAUAUGUAGUUUCAACUUGUGGUGUGUGUUAGGUUGAUGUGGAAAACUACACCAAUUACAAUAUUUUUCUUACUUGCUCUCAUGCCUUGGCUGGAUCCACCAGGAGUUUUAUCUUUUAAAUGGGAUCUUGGUAGUUCAACUGCUAUUUUGAUAUCAGCUCUUCUUGGUUUUCUCUUGCAAUGGUCUGGAGCUUUGGCGCUUGGGUGAGACUUCUGUUAUUUUGUUUUUCCUUUCCCUUCUUUUUUGUUUUGGACUGCUCUAUCUUUGAUUCCUUUUGAUAACCAUUUAGUUUUUGGUUUUUAAAAUAUUUGGUUAUUUUUGCAUUUAGUACUUUUUGGUUUUUGAAAUAUUUGGUUAUUUUUGAAUUUCUUUCCCUUCGUAUUCAUCUUUUUAGUUGAACAUUUGAAUGCUUAGUCAUAAUCCAAGAACAAAAACAAGUUUAGACAAUGAGCUCGUUUUGGUUUUUUGUUUUUGAAAUUUAUGUUUGUUUCCUUGAUAUGGUUUGUUAGACAAAGGUACAAAAACUAGUUUUUUGAAAAAUGUUCUUUUGUUAGUUUUGAAAUUUAUGCUUGUUUUUUAAACAAGAGUAGAAAGUGGAUAACGAAAGAUAGAAAUUUUGGGGUAAGAGUAGGGUUUAGAAGGUUAAUUUUCAAAAACAAACUAUUUAUUGAUAAGACCCACUUUACAAAACUUGGUAUGGUUUUCGAAAAUACUCCUAAAAAAUAGAUUGCAUAAUAGAAGAUAUGUUCUUUAGGCCCGUUUUUUAGCACGAUAUAGCAUAUAGAUGAACAACAUGGCCUUUGCAAUAUACUCUCCUUUCUCGAUACAUCACAUCAAAGCUCUUUUUAUAUAUAAAAACUGUCCCACUUAUUUUAACCAUUUGACAAUUGUACCAAAUCACCAACAUUUUUCUAAUAAACAUACUAUAUCAUCGUUUAAAAGACUAUUCCAUAUAGUAACAAUAAUCUUCUUACUUCAUUAGCAGUGUUGUUGUUCAAUUUUGUGCAGUGCAACCUCUGCAACAUCUCAUGUUGUUUUGGGACAGUUCAAGACUUGUGUAAUUCUGCUUGGAAGCUAUUUUGUUUUUGGGUCCGAUCCCGGGUUCGUCAGCAUUUGCGGAGCGGUUACAGCACUCGGUGGAAUGUCUGCUUACACAUCCCUUAACCUGCAGCAACAACUUGACAACAAGCAACAACUUCCAAAGCAUAACUUGGCGAUACCGAAACCUGAAAACAACGUGGUUGUAGAAGAUGCUCCGAAGUCAGAUGUACAAAAUUCUGAUGUUGCUGUAUAGAGAUUUUUAAUGAACGAUUUGAGUUACCAUGAGUUCGAUCUAAAGGUUUUUUUUUUUUGUUUCCUUUUUAAUGGUAAAUUGAGGGUAGUAAAUAUCUUUCUUCAUAUAUGAUUAUUCAAAGAUAUGCAUUUCUAUUCUUUUUAAAACAUUUCUUAACGAUUUAAGUUCAAAUCACAUCUAUAAGAUCAUUUAGAAUAGCUAUUGAAGUGAAUGUUCGGGAAAAAUAUUUUUUUUUGUAAUUUUAAGUUUUGAGUUUAAUUUCUAUUUGGAUCUUUGAUUUCAAAAUUUAAAUCUGUUUAAGAUUUAAAAAAUGCUCAAUUUUAGUGUCGAAGAUAACAAAAUCGUUAGUAAUUAAACAGAAGUUAACUAGAACACUAUGACUAACAAAUUUUAAACUAAAAUAUAUUGAUGAUGUGAUUAGUUUUAUUGAUAGAGAAUGAUUUUUUCUAAAGGAAAAAGAAACUCGAUAGACUCUUGGGAAUCAAUGUUGAAAAAGAUGUAUUUUUUACAUCUCUUUCUUCCUUUUCAUCGAUAUCCUCUCGUAUCUUCUCUCUAACAACUUCUAAGAAAAAGACUUAUGAAUGAACAUGAGACCCCAACUAACCAACACGAAGCUUCAUAUUCCUUUGCCAUUAUCAUCUUCAUACCUCACUCUCUAGAAAUGGUCAUUUUUGAAAGCUUAAGAGAACAGAGCAAGGGGGCGUUGUCAUCUCUUCCUCUUUGGGUGUUUAUUUAGUAUAAACCUUCUUAGAAUACAUGGAGAUGGAGGAGAGAGAUGAUAAAAAAGAAGUGGAAGAGGAAGAAAGGGGAGAAAAAGAGAAAUAAAAGAAUUUUAGGAUUGAUUUUGAAAACGUUGAGUUUUGAGAUAAAGUGUGUGUGAAAUGUCUAAAUUGUCCUUCGUUCAUUUUUCCUUCCUUUCUGAACUUCAACCUAAAAACAAAACAAAACAAUCAGAUGUGGUCUAUUAUAACACUAUGAUCAAUGGGUUUUGUAAAGUGGGGCAAGUAGAUAAGGCAAAUAUAUAUUUUGUUUGAAAAGAUGAAAGAAAAUGGUUAUACACCAAAUUGGUUUUUGGAAGAGUAGUAAAUCAGAAGAGGUGAUUAAACUUCUCCAUAAGAUGGUUCAAAGGAAUGUGUCACCAAAUGAUAGCAUUUGCACCAUAGUCGUUGACAUGCUAUGCAAAGAUAUUGAAUAUUCUCUAGACUUGCUUCCGUCCAAAAGCGUCAAGGUUGAUAUUGAAUAUUCUUUUGAAAUCUCACCUAAUUUCCAAACUUUGGCCUUUAAUUUGGUUCUAAUAUUAAGAUUUUGAGGAUUUAAAUCCAAUGCACAUAAUCUUUCUUUCCCGUUCUUUCUUCUUCCAUUCCUAUUUGAUGAUUGAAUCGGUUAGUUUUUAUUUUUUAUUUUUGUCCAUUUUUUGGAACUUAUAUUAUUUAUUCUUUUGUUUCCUAGCAUAUUACUUUUUUUCCGGAUGAGUUUCAAAAUCAAAUUGUUAUCCCUCCCAAGCCAUUUAAAGUGAUUCAAUGCAUGUUUCUUAAGUUUAUUAGGUGAUCAUUACGAGCUUUUAGACAAACUAAAAUUUGGUACACAAAUGAACAUAUGUACAAAAUGAAGUUAAUACAAUUUCAUUAGAUAAACAAAACGUGACCACAAACAAAACAUUCCAAUAGAGUAUAUUGAAUCUAACAAGUUGUCUAUUGGUAUAUUGGUGUUGUGAUCAUUGUGAUGAACCACCACGACUCUUUUGUAGCCACCAAUCACCCAAUUUCCUUGGAAUCAUGUUGAGUUACUUCUCUCUAACGACCAUUUGAGGAAGAUUGAGAGGUGAGAAGCUUAGUACAUUAUUUGAGCAUAUUGCAAAACAAAAAUGUGUAGAAUAAAACAAAUAAACUUGAGUCCAACUCAAUGCAUGAUUUAAAAAUUUUGAGUUGGCUACUUUACCACAUUUUGGAACAAGAAGUAUCGUCACUAUGGCUAACCAUUUCACUCCUAACCUCGCAAAAAGUGCUACAUCCCAACUCUAAAAUCCACUUGUGCAUGAGAGAUUUUGAGAAUGAAAAACAUGAAGAUGGAGGAAGUGGGAGAAAAGUGACCUACCUUUUUGUUUAAAAUUAAUCUAGUCAUCACCCUAGUCAACUUUUCCUUGAGUUAUCAAUGAUUUUGUUAUCUCAAUAACUAAAAUUGAGCAUUAUUAAAAUGUUGAUGAUAAAAAUAUUAGAUAUCAAUAAAUUAGUUCAUCUAUAUAUAUAAAAAAAAGGUUCAAAUUAGAUGAUAGACUUUACUAAAUAUGUAGCCAACCUUUGAAUUAGUGUGGUGUGUAGGGAUUUCUUAUAAAUUAGACAAUUAAAAAUUAGGCAAUAAAAAAAAAAGCAUUAAUAAAUAUAGUAAAUAAUUGAAAGGUAUGUGUGGAUGAUUUUUGCUUUAAUUUUAAACUCUAUAAUUUAUGUUAGAUUGUGAUUUUCUUUCUAAUUAUAAAAGUUCAUUGAUUUUACAUCCCUUUAAUUCAUUUCCUACCGGUACUAUAAAAGAAGAGCUAUUUGCCUUUCAAUUUCGACGAAAGGAUUUGAGGCUUUGUCUUCUUUUUUUCACUCCAUUUUCUCUUAUCGAGAUUUGAAUUUUGUAAGUUUGUUGAUCAACCACAAUCCACCAUUCUUUUUUAUUAGCUUUCUUUGUGAAAUCUCGAUCGACUUUUAACACUUUUUCUCUCUUGUGUUGUCGAAUAGAAGUGUUUUAAUUUUAAGUUUAGGGUUCAAUAAUUUUCACCUCAACAACGCAAGAACGUCAAAGUUUUCAUUCAUCAGAGGCUUUCACGAUACAGAAAUAAGUGCAUAAGACUUCUACUUUUUCUCUUAGUUUUUACUAAAGGGAGAAUUUUCUCCGCAUCAUUUUUCAUCACUCAUUUUUUUCUAACUUGUUUCUUUUAUUUUAUGAACAACUCAUGUGUGAGGAUCACGACGAAAGGAAAAUAACGUUCGUUGAGGGUUGAGUUCUUCAAAUACAAAAAUCUGGUGAGUUAACUCUUUGUUUUUCUGUUUUAGUUUUUGGUUACAAAGUGUUUGUUUCACUAAUUCUUUAACGUAUCUUCACAUAUGGAUUGUUUAUAUAAAUAGUGUUAUUAGGUGUUGUUUUCUAAAAAUAAAGCUUACAAUUGAAGACACAAAAAUGCAGGUCAAUUCAUUCAAACAAAAACUACAAUAGGAACUGCCCAUUACAAAUCAUGAAUACUAAAAUAAUUAAUUCCUAAAACAAUAGGAACCAACUUAUAACAUAAUCAAACUAACAAGAAAACAAUCCUAAAGCAUUUUAUUAAUACUAGACAUGAUAAACUCUUUAAUCUAUUACUUAAACGUGUUUGUUGGGUUGGGUUAAGUUGAGUUGAAGUACAUUUUUAGACUCAACUUGAAUGUUUGGGUUGUAAGCUAAGCUUUUUUAACCCAAAUAACUCUCGCUAGAAAAUGAACCAAACACAACCCAACCAUGAAACAUUUGGGUUAGGUUGGUUUAGUUCAUUUGGAUCAUUUAUCUUUUUUCUUUCUUUUUAGAAUAAAGAGAAAGUAAAAUAUUAAUACGUAGAAAUUGGAUUUAAUUAUUUUUAUAUAUUUAAAUUAAACUCAAUUUCAUUUUAUAUAAUUCAUAUUUUUUUCCAAAUUGCUAAAAUCUAUUUUUAGAAGUUAUCGGAGAAUAAACUACAGAUAAAUAAGAAAAUUAAAUCAAACAAAAAUAAAAAUGUGUAUAUAUAAUAGAAUCUUGAGUAUAAAAUCUAGGUAAAUUGCAUAUGAUAGAAUUUUGAUAAUAUGAUAUAGUAAUUACACCACAUUGUUUUAGAAUUUUGUAAAUUUGGUAAAAUGUAUAAGUAGGACUUCAAGCAUAUCAAGUGUAUUUAAUCAAUCAAUUUUAUAAGUGAAGAAUACUAAAUGUAUCUGCAGUGUAUCAAACAUAUAUUAGUAAUGUUUCAGGUGUGUAUCAAAAUGUAUCGAGUGUAUCAAAGAGUAUUAUAUCAGGUGUAUUAGGUGUACAAAACGUGUAUAAGGUGUACGAGACGUAUAUUAGUAACGAGGACAUUAGUGACAUUUUACGGUUUGAUAUGUGGGCUAGACUUCGUUUUUGUCAUUUUUGCAAAUAAUAAAAUGUGUGUACUAUGGAUUUAAUUAUUAUAACUUAUUUUGUCAUUUUUGCGAGUGUCCCUAGUUAUUAAACAACAUAGUAUUAUAUACAAAUCAACCAAAUGAGUCUUCUAUUGCACUUUGAAACAAAUACACAAGUCCAAGUUUAAUUUAAAAAACAACAACUAAUAGCUUAUUACAUACAUAGAUUAUAUAUGAUCCUUAAAACUAAACAUAAACUGUACAAGUUUGGAUUUGACAUAAUAAUUAGAAGGUUCUAUAUUGUUAGCAGAUUAAGGUCAGUAAACUUAAAUAUGUUUAAAUUAUAAUAAUGUGCUGUUACGCCCUUAAAGAACAGGGCAUCCCUUGGCCACAACCCCAGGUGCUGUAGGGCACUUAGCCAAAGUACAAUGAUCAUCAGCUCCUAAACCCCACCAAUCAGGUCCAAAAAUAUCCUUCGAUUGUAGUGUAAAAUAUAUAACAAUCCCCAUAAAUGCAACCCCAGCAUCUAAUGCUGCUGAUAAGAUAUAGUUAUGUCUUGCCCACCAUCCUUUGUAUUUCUUGUACACAUAGAAAUUGAAGAAUAUUCCAACUAUUCCCCAUGUUAUGUAGUUCACUGCUCUUGCUGGUGGCAUUCCUCCUGUUGCUCCUAUUAUGAUUGGCAUGUUUAUGAGUUUAAUCCAUUUCUUUUCUGGGAAUUUGAGAGAGAGUAACCAAAUUGGUAACGGGGCCAGUAAUCCGAUCAGGAAGAACCAGUUCAUUUGUCCGUAGACGCCGUAUUUCGUGAACAUUCGUAAUGGUCCUACUACACCCCAUAUUAUUGAUGCAUUGUAGAAUACGUCGUCGCCUGGACAUGUCCAUGGACUUCCUUCUGGUAAUACGUUUGUGUCGCAAAUGUUUGGUAUGGUUGUUAGAAGCCACCAUGCCGUGCCAAAGUAGACACUCGACGAUACAACCGUUCCUACAAGCUGAGAAAGUGGGUUGUGUUUAAAAUCGAAACAGUUGCAAAUAUAUAGUAGAUUGUGCUACUCAGUGCAAUUACCUUUCUUCAUACUAUUUAAAAGCAUCUUUUGAAUGGUGUUGAAAAUGACAAAAGUGAUCUUAAUCAUUUUUACCUGAACAGUGAACAUGGAUCUUGGUGGGAUCUUCAUGUAAUGUCCUAAUUUGAAAUCACCAACAAAGCUAAGAGCUUGUGCCAUGCUAAUAUAACCAUAAGUUUUGAAAGCCACAUUUGCAAGAGGCUUUCCUGGAUAAAUAUAACCUAUGAUCAACUCUGUUAUGACAUUUAAUCCUGGUUGCUGCACCAAACAUUUAAGUGAAAUAAUCAGAAUAAUUAUUUGACUAUAUGUUAUAUGUUUGUUAAUUAAUAUCAUUGUUUUAAAUUUGUUUCCGGUGAAUAUAAGGUAUAUAUAUAUUACCAUAUUUGUUGUGGCUUGAAUGAUUCCAAUAGGCAGAGUGAAGAAGAGUGCGAUUGCACAAGCAAGUAAUAUUCCCCACCAUGGUAAUUGGAGUUGUUUGUCAAAACCUUCACAAGCAUACAACGCUAGAGCAACCAUUGCAAUCAAGAUAAUGUGAAACCACCAUUGAGGCACUUCUUUAUAGUUCUUUUUCAUUAUCCUUGUAUGCACAUCUCCAAUUUGAUUCAUCGCCGUCGUGGUUUUCUUCCAUAGUUGCCAAAUUGUUCUGUAAAAACAACCAGAAUCAUAUGAGAAUUAGUUAUUGAACCAUAUGUCAUCUCUCGAUUAAUCAUAACUGAACUCGAAACUAUAAAAACUAAUGUGUCGUCACUUACUUUCCAUGGAAGAGAGCAACAUGGGAAAUAGUUGCGGUCAAAGUAGCGAAACUCAAGCCAUAAGAAAAGGCGAAGAAGACACUCAAGUAAAGUUUGCUAUAGCUUUCAUAGCCAACUUGAUCAAGAUCAAAGGUUUUGCUGUUAAGAACUCUAGAAAUGUUGUAGGGAUUGCCUAAGGAGUCAAAAGUGUGAGAAGAAAUGAAGGGAAAACGCUUGGCUUCAUAGACGUUAGACCAAUAUGCAAUGGGAAGCAUAACAUAAACAAUUAAGAAAAACCCAACUAAGAUAUUGAGAAUGGCAAAGCCAGGAGUGGCCAAUGGACUGCCCAAGAAGGCAGCAACUGUUGACCAGUCGAUACCAAACGAGCCGAUACCGAGACCGUAGAAACCUGAACCUAUCUGUUGAGCAACGAUGGAGUCUUUCCAAAUGAGACAAGCAAUAGAGAUACAAGAAAUGGAGGGGAAGAGAUAGCUAGGGAUAAGGUAGUAAGAAAAGCUUGAGAUAAAAAUUAAGAGGAAAAAUUGGAGCCUUGUAUGUCCUCCUCUUGGCCUCUUCUCUUUCUCAUGCAAUGCCCUGAAUUUUCAUAUGCUCAACAUUAAAUUUUGUAACACAACAAUAUAGUUUUUACUAGAAAAUAAUAUGAAAAGUAUAUAUAACCUGAAAAGAGAAACCUGAACCAAAUUUGCUGGCCACCACAUGUAUGGAGAAUCCACAAGGAAUUUUCUAAAUAUUCCAGCCCAUCCAUAGCCAAGCAUCUAUUGCAAAAGAGAGUUUUUGUUAUUAUCAGUUAGUAGUUAAUGGAAAAUCGAAAAACUCAGACCACGAGGUUAAUAUUACAAAAGUUCAUAUCAGCUUGAACAAAAACAAUACCUGAGUAGUCAUAGAAAGCAUCAGAGCAGCAGCAGGAUGAAGAUUUCUAUGGUAGAAUGCCUUAACAAUAGUGAUAAUGUUAACAGCAUAAACACUGCUAGAUCCACAAUUGGCGAAAAUGGUAAUGAGAACAUGUUCUUUCAAGGUGAAAGGGCCAGGAUUCAAAGAGAAUGACCAAUUAAAGAUGGGUAGCUUGAAAACUUUGGUUGGAAGAGUUGUUGCCAUCAACUUUCCAAGAGGCAAAGCCACAAUUUGAGCUGAUACAGAUGAAAUAUAAAGUUGGUUUUGACGAUACCCAAAAAAUUGGUUCACAAAUGCCAGAAGACAACAUGAAACCAGCCCCAAAAACCAUGUUCGGAAUGUCAGUGCCGCCUCCGAUGGAUCAUCAGUGAUCGGAACUGUCAGCCUAACUUCCUCAAUCGGACAAUCAUUUUCUUCCACUUCUCCUACAAACAUAUAUCCAACAAUCAAUGUAAAUACCAAAAGAACAUGAGAUGAUCACUACAACAAUUUCACAUUGUAUAUGUAUGAAGACGAGUGUCAUCAUAGGGUAUAACGGUAGUUUAUAAAUGACACAAAGUCAGUCAUCAUACAUCGAUGUAAAUCAAAUACAUACGUCUCAAGCUGAUGAGUCUAGAUUUAGUAAAAUCGAUGAAAAACAAGAGACCGUAUGUUGAUGACACAAAAUCAUACAUUGUUAUAAAUCAGUUAGGUACGUCUGAAGAGGUUGAUGAGUUAUGGAAAGUUUAAUUAGAGUUGACCUUGAAUGGAGAAGCUGGAGUGAUUCUUGUGGUCAUGCAUGUCAUCUGUGAGCUUGGAUUGAGGGGCUACAUCCUCAGCGUGAUUUCCUGUCAUAACUCUCUUUGUUACUCUCUCUUGCCCUCCCUCCUUGUGUCAAAUUGUUCAUAGCAAAGCCAUUCUUUUUAUACCGAACACAAAAACCACAGUAUGGCCACAUUCAUGUCAUGGCUGACAAAGAUUCUUCUAUUUUUAGAACACUCCAGUUGUCAUUUACCUCUAAAGAAAUCGAUAACCAAUAAAGCCUAUUUUUCAGUUCAGCCUGUCACAGUUUUCUUACCCAAACAUCCAUCCCACCUUUGGAAAAAUGGAGGGAGAAAGCGUAUCUCUUUGUUGUCAAUUCAUAUUAACACGAUAGCAAAGGCUAUAAAAUUCAAGUGAUCAUUCGAAAUGAGCCAUAUAUAAUUUUUCUGACCUUAUUAGCUUUGUCACAUUCAUGUCAUAUAUAAUUUGUCAUAGCAAAGCCAUUCUUUUUAUAUCAAAUUUUUCUGACCUUAUUAUCUUUUUCUUUUUAUACACAUAGCUAACAUAUUGUCAUGUUCAAUGAAUCAUACAAAUUUUGUCAUGUUCAAUGAAUCAUACAAAUUUAUGUGUUAUUAUUUACUAUCUAUAUGCUUGGUCUUUGAUUGUUGAUUUUGUUUGUCACCCAAAAAAUAAUGAACCCAAAUCAUAACUAAUUGGAAAGAAAUUGAAACCUCGUAAUCAUUACUUAUCUAACUUUUAAUUAAUUUCGAAUAAGAAUAUACAUUUAUUUAAUAUGAUAUCAAAAGUUUAUGGUUGGAAUGAAGAACAUAAUAAAAAAAAGGUUUCAAAAGUCUAAGGUGGUAAACAAAAAUAUUAUCUCGCGCCAAUUUAUAUUUGUUAAAAGUUUCACAUUGAAAGAAUAGAGAAAAAUCAAAAUAUAUCUUUACAAAAUUGACGAGUAAUUCCUCGAAUUAUCAUUACUUUGGCAUAUAUAAAUGCUCAUCGUCCAUUUGGAAAUGGAUGGCUACGUGUGAAAUUGAUUGUCGUUGCUUUUCUGGGAAAUUUGAAUUUAUAACACAAACAAUUAUUGUAUGGUUUUAAUCUGGGUAGGGACUUUGGUUUAAAUUUAUCCACCUUAUGCAAAAAAUAAUAUGAAAUUAUAAGUUCGCUUUUCAUAGUCUGUUUAGAAUAUUAGAUUAGAUAAAAAAAGAUUAUUAAAAUCGUUUUAUUUAAACUAUAUAUUUGAAUAGAAACUAAUUAAAAUAAACUUUGAAAACAAUGCAAAAGUUAUUUUGGAGGGGUUAGUCGAACUUUUUUUCUAAAAUCACUUACCUUAUAAGUUAAACACAUACACAUGAUCAUUAUUUAUACUAUUACCUUUUGUUUUUCAUGUGUGUUUUCUAUGUAGAACUAACGUUGGUAUAGAAUUGUGUUUUACUAAAAUUCAUUUUAACAAAAUUAUAAUAAAUGGUAGUUGCAAAUUUAGCAAUUAGAUUCAAAAUAAUUAAAUAUAUAACAAUUUUUUUAAAAAAUUAUAAAUAUAGUAAAAUUUGUCAAAUUUUAUCAAUGAUAGAAGCCUAUUAUCGAUAGACCAUAUUGUAAAUAUUGAUGACCAUUUGAGGAAUAAUAAUUAAGGAUAUAACAAUGUUUUUAAAAAAAUUGUAAAUAUAGCAAAAUUAUCGCUGAUAGACUUGUAUCAUUGAUAGACUCGUAUGAUCUAUCACUGAUAGACCAAUAUUUACAACGUGGUUUAUCGGUGAUAGACUUUUAUCAUGGAUAGAAUUUGACAAAAUUUGCUAUAUUUACAAAUUUUUUAAAAUAUUGUUAUAUACUUAAUUAUUUUAAAUCUAAUUACUAAAUUUGCAAUUAUCCCAUUUAUUAAAGGAUAGGAGCAAGUGUCUUCCCUCACAUUCUCGAUUUUUGUAUUUUAAUAUUAAUUUUGAAGUGUCAUAUUACAAUAUAUAUCAAAUAAAGCUCUUAAUUAACUAAAUUUUAGUUAUAGUGAUGUAGUGGUCGUGCUUCUUAUAAAACCAUGAGAUUAUGUGUUCAAAUCUUAUUGACAAUAGUUAUUGUUUUCUUUUUUUUUAUGCAAUUUUUAAAUCUACAUGUUUACCUUACAAAAAAUUAUGUAAAAGAUGUCGAUCUUUUUUUAUUGCUAGUGAAAUGUUAUUGGAACAUUAUUGAAAUGUUGAGAUAUUUUGUUUAUACUUUUUUAGUGUACUUAUUAUAUAGUGUGUAGUGCUCUCUAUAUAAAAUUUAUCGAGAAAUACACUAUUUUUAAUUUUUGAAAAUUGUAAAAAAUAGAACAUUGAAAAUUGUCAAAAAUAGAACGAAAUAUUUACAUCAUCAAAAUUAAAUAUAAAACUUUUGGGAGUUCAUGCUAUAAUUGAAAUGAACUCCAUAAUUGAAUAAUACUUUUAAAAUUUGAUUUUCUUUUAUUGAGAAAAUUAAUUGGAAAAGUAUUCAUUGUUGUUUGAGAAAACAAUUAAACAAUACAUGUACAAUGAAGAGUAAGAAUAUGAUAAAAUCAAUUGUACAAUGCACAUGUUACAAUAAAGUUAUAUAAUAGGUGCUUUAAACAAAAAUGUCAAUCAUACUUUAUUUUUGUUUUAUUAGUUUUUUUUUUUAUAAAUUUUUCCUCUUUUUAUUUUUACCUUUUUCCAGAAAGACCAACCAUACUCUUUAAUUUCAUUAAAUAUAUUUAUUAAUAUUUUUUCUUUAAUUAAAUUAAAAUAAAAAAACAUUAAUUUUGUGUACACCAUUUCUUGCUUCUUUUUGCAUUAGCCUUCUUACACCCAAUUUAUUACCUACUACCCUAAGAAUUUGUUUUCAUCCCAUUGAUCAUUGAUUUGUUGUUGUUUGACCAUACUUGGACGAAUCGAAUCUCUAAUUAUAAUAUUAGUUUUAGGUUAGUUGAACUAUAUAUUCAUUUUUGACGCAUUAUUGACCCAUUCUAAUUUGAUUUAUUAAAUUUAGUAAUCGUAGUCAUGGACAAUGUUAAGGGUUUUCUUUUUGGAAAAUUGCAAAAUUCAUCGUGGUGGUUAUGAUAAAUGAACUUAAUAUAUGAGUUUGUGAAAUGAAAUAAAAUGGAUCAAAUUGUUUUAGUUCUUUUUUGUAUAACUGUAAUCGAUUGUUAGUUCUUUUUAAGAAUAAUAAUGAAGGAUAUAACAACAUUUAAAAAAAAAAAUGCAAAUAUAGCAAAACAAUCGUUGAUAGACUUGUAUUGCUGAUAAACUCGUAUGAUCUAUCAGUGAUAAAUCAAUAUUUACAACACGGUCUAUUGGUGAUAGACUUCUAUCAUUGAUAAAAUUUGACAAAUUUGGCUAUAUUUACAAAUUUUUAAAAAUGUUGCUAUAUACUUAAUUAUUUAAAAUCUAAUUGCUAAAUUUGCAAUUAUCCCUUCUUUUUUUAAAAAAUAUAAAUGAAAUAAAGGACCUUAACAAAGUUCAAUCUAAAGAGGGUCCAUGGGCGAAUCUACAGAGAGGUUAGAGAGAUAAUUAGAUCGACCUAUGAGGUGAGCUUAGUGGAGUUCAUAAUAGUCUAGGAGAGAACUCAAAGAGAACUAAUGGGAAUCCUAAAAGAGCUUUGUGAGAGCUCAGUGGAGAUCUAUGAGUUAAGCUUGAUGAGACUCAAAGAAACUUGUGAGAGAGCUCAAAGGUCUCAUGAGAGAGACUAAGAGGGCUUAAUGCAACUCAUGAGGCAAGCUUAGCGAAGCUUAAAGGGUUUAGGUGGAGCUUAGAGAGCAUAAGAGAUCAAAUAUCAAGAUGACAUACGAGAGAUCAGGAGCUCAAUGCGAUCCAUACGUUGAGCUUAAUAAAGCUCAAGAGAGCUCAAAGGACGUUUAGAGAGCUUAGAAGAGUCUAAAAGAGUUUAGGCAUAAGAAGCCUAAGUUUAGAGCAACCUAAGAGAGCUCAUUUUAGGAAAGUUUAAAGGAGUUCUAGGCAUGGCGAGGUUAGGAGAAUCUAAUUAAGAAGCUUAGGCACGAGGAGCGUAAAAAAGCUUAGAGAAGUCUAAGCCUAGAGGAGAUUGUAGGAUCCAUGGAAUCUAUAGGAGCUUCAAAGAACUCGAUUGAGUGAUUGAAGAUGAAGUCAUCCACAUUCAUAACAAAUAGCCCAUGACGCAGAUAUUAAAAAUUUGAGUGGUGUUAAAGGACACUAUGAGUCCAAGUGACCAUUAUACUUUAUUACUCUAUAAAAGCGACCAAAGUCAUUAGUUGAAGGUAGCCCAAAAACCUACUACUUAUUUAGAAUCCAAUUACCUACAAACCUAAGACUAAUUGAGUGUUAGAGUAUGUGUUGACUAGACACCACAUCAACACUUAUCCUCUCUUAAGCGUUGCAAACAAUUCGACUAUCCUCGUCCAUAAUAUAAAUUCACGAUUACAUCUAAAAUUUCUUUUAAUAUUACCUCAUUUUUUUCAUUGUUUUUUUUAGAAAACAUUAUUUAUGAAAAUACUCCCUAAAAUAUAGGGGUAAAAAGGAUCCAUAGUUUUUUUUUUUUUUUUUUUUUUCCAUUCAUUUAUUUAUUUAUAAAUGUUAGAACUAAAUUUCCAAUAAUAAACCCUAGCCAAUUCUAUUUCCAAUAACUAUUUCUUAAACCCUCCCCUCCCGUCUAAAACCUUCUCAGCCGUGCUCCUGAGUGCCGUCGCCGCCGUCUUUCUCGAUUUUGCUUCUCCGCCGGACACUUCUUCCUUGUUUUGGUCUCAGGUAUUCUAAUUGUUGUUCUUAUUCUCUUCGAAGCAAAGCUUCUUAAAGCUUUACUUGACCCUUAUCUGUCGGAUUUUGCUCCCACCUCCUUGUUUAAACUUACAGCCGAGCCCACCGACUAAAUAACUCUGCGCACACUGAAUCGGAAGUUGACAAUGUCCGGCAAAGAUAAGAAUUUGCAUAAUAUGUCGGAGUCGGAAUCCGAGCAAGAAGGCGUUGACAAAGAAGGCAUUGAGUGGAUAAUGAAUCUUCCAGACGUGCCCAUGAAGCUCCCACCACAUGUCGAAUUGCAGAGAACUCGAGUCGAAUGCAAAGCCGAUGCUCCCAUUCAUGUACUCUUCGUUUCCAUUUCCCAUAAUUUGGUUAUUCAAAUUCUAAGAAUGGGAAAUAUCCUUUUUAGUAUGUUUACUGUAGUUGUAUGUUUAAUGUGAAUUUAUUAAAUUACGUUUCAUGCUUCUGGAGAGAAGUGAAUUUAAUGGAACCUGUUUACUUUACUUGAUUUUUAUUCAUAGUACGUGUACAUACUAUUUCUCAUGUUGUAAUUAGCUUACCUUAGUUUUCUUCUCAUGGUCCUUGUGGAAAACGUGGACUUCUGUAGACAGAUACCAUACAGUAUUCUGGAGCAUUUGCUUCCAUGGGCUUUGACAACAGUUUACGUCUGGAUAAUUUUCGCAACAACUUUAAAAUUGAAGUUAUUGAUCUGAAAGAGGAUGACAUUGAGUUUGACAUGAUUGGCAUUGAUCCAGCACUUGCUAAUGCAUUUCGAAGAAUCCUGAUAUCCGAGGUAGGUAACCAAGCAGAAUGAAUUGAAACUAUAAUAAUUGAUUAUUUUAGUGAGACUUUACUGAGUUCUUGGUGUUUACUUCCUUGCCACUACUUCUGGUGUUGUUAUGUGUGUCCAAUAUAUAUAAACGCUCAAGAUUUAGCCCAAGCUGCAAGCUCUUAGCUUUCUUUCCUUCACAUAGAGCUUGUGCUUCGUAGGGAAAAGAUGUAUGCUUUUGAUGACAAUGUAUGAAUGUUUGUAGUCUUUAUGGUUUAUGAAUGGUUAUAAAUUACGAUGGUUGUUUUCUAUUGUUCAAAAAUUGCAAGUUUGUUCAUGUAUCAAAAGCUAAUAAAAUGGGGAUAUUGAUGGUGAUGGCUUUGAAUGUUUUAGAGUUUUUCUUGUCAGACAUGGCCCAGGGUGCAAGCCCAUACUUUGGUUAAAAAGAAAAAGAAUUCUGUCUUGUAAUUGCCUAUUAUUUCUUUUUCUACUUUGGCUUAAAGAAACACUACUGUCGUGACAAACAUUAGGAAUGAGACAACCCCCUGUUAACUAUAAUGAUGAUUAUAUUGAGAAUGUCUUUCAGAAUCUUUAGAUGUGAAAACUGACAGUUCAAACUUUUUUUUUCCUUGAACAUUAGAAAAUAUCAAUUCUCAGUGGUUUAUGUAGAGGGUGAAACUGAGAGUGUGUAGAUAUGACCCUCAUACAUUUGUUUGGGGUGCAAGCAGUGACAGAUCCAAAAGUUUUGUUGAAGGGGGUGUUUUAGUUUAGUAAAAGUAAUCUGAAAAAAAAUGUAAGGAAUGGAGCUUGAAUCAAGGUCUAGAGGGGGCUGGAUGACAGCUUUACCACUGGACUAGCAACUGGAAUUGGUAUAAUUACAGUUUUCUAUAUACAUAUUAUAUAUAUAUAAAUAGCAUAAGGUUGACGGGGGGGCUCAAGGUCCCCUUGGGCCUAUAGUAAAUCCACUGGUGGGUGCAAGUGGUGGAUCAAGAGGCCUUUGCAAAAUCUUCAGUGAAGCUAUCCCCUUUGUUUUCCAUUAUUCUCUCAAUUUAUCACUUUGCUGGUGAAGGUUUGAAGGUUUAUUUUUGGGAGGAUUGCUAGUGGGAUUUGAACUUCUUUGUUCUUUGUUUUGGAGGUAAUAUAUAUAGUCUUUCGAAUAAUGAGGUUGCAUUAUGUGGCCUUAGUGUUGCCUUCAAUAGACCCCUCUUCUUCGAUUCCUGUAGAGGGUUCUAGCGUCCUUAGCAUGAUAGGGGUACAAUGAAAUUGGCUGAUCUUUUUUCUCUUCUUUGAAACCAGCAUGUCAUUCCAAGGAGAAGAAAUGUUAGUAUUUGGUCCUCCGAACCCUAUAGGGGUUUCUUUUGGCAUUAUAAUGUCAUUCCACUUCUGGUUGCCUCUCUUUUCUCUCUUCCU
Molecule: long non-coding RNA, 62198 nt
Filed under: Cucumis sativus (cucumber)
Lineage: Eukaryota; Viridiplantae; Streptophyta; Magnoliopsida; Cucurbitales; Cucurbitaceae
Description: long non-coding RNA (CSAT_LNC000862)
Source: RNAcentral